CUCACUCGUCUCCAGCCGUCACCCCCCUGGAGUCGGGUCCUCCCUGCGAAAUCACACCAGCCAUUAGCCAUCUCACAUCGAGUCCCCCAUGAUUCUUCGAUCUAUUUCGUCCCCGCUGCAUUUCCCAGCUUCUUCUCUUUCUUCUUCAAUGCGUUCUUCGCUUUCCCCUUUGGUGUUGCGGGGAUCUUAUUUUUUGUAGAAGAGGAUUAGGGUUUCGCCAAGCGCGGUGUUUCGCCGCGCGAGCAGAGCUGGCAGAUGACGACAAGCAAGACAGGGACUCUGCAGCGCCCCCGGUUCAGAUCGGGGGUCGCGAAUGAUGCAUCCGUCUAGGGGAAUCUCCGAUGCCAUUCUCACUUUUCUUCACGCGCCAUAUUUGUUUCUGCAUAAAUUGGGUGGAGUGUUGGCCUCGUGAACAGAAAUUAUUAGCAUAUGACGACAAGCAAGACAGGGACUCUGCAGCGGCCCCGGCUCAGAUCGGGGCUGCGAAUGAUGCAUUAGUCUAGGGGAAUCUCUGAUGCUAAUCUAAUUUACAGUUUCUUCUCUCUUAGUCUUGCCCUGAACGGACAUGAAUCCCACCGGUGUUUGCUGGGUUAUUUUUUUCCAUUGGAUUUUAAUCUGACGUUGUUUGCUGAAUUUGUGCCGCAACAAAUCCGGUGCAAGCAUAACUAGCAUAUGACGAUAACCAAGACAGGGACUCUGCAGCGCUCCCGGUUUCAUAUCGGGGGCGCGGAUGAUGCAUCCGUCUAGGGGAAUCUCUGAUGCUAUUUUCACUUCACUUGCUUGUUCUUCAUUUUUUUUCCUUUUGUUGUUUUGACUUAGCUGCCUGUAACAGUGUUCAAUACAGUACAGACAUUUUGCAAUGAAUUCCUUUCAACUCGCCACUAAGUUGUUGCACUGAACUGCCAGCCUGAUGAUUAUCCUCGAGAACGGAGAUCUGAAUCCAUUUCUCCGUUGAAGCCCGCUUGGCCGCCGUGCUUGACCUGUCAUGGCAUUUGUUUCUUGGCUGGGUUUCUCUCAGGAGUAAAUUGCAAAACCCCCAACAUGCAACAUGCAACAUGCAUGCAUGCAUGCAUCUCGCACACACACACACACAUGUACGCACGAAGCAGGCCGAAUGGGCUCCGGGAAUGGAUGUGUAGAAGCAAAAGUUAUGAAGGCUUUGGCAGAUCGGGUGAAUGCCCCCCACUAGAUUCAUGGUGUACUUGUUUAAGUAGUGUUUGGUAUCAGUUUGAGGCUGCCCACCUUUAAUGGUUUAAUGCCUGGUGGUUUGCUGUAGAAAUCAUCAUGCGAAUAUUUUUGGAUCUGAACUAACUUAUGUGUGAAUUGUAGUGCUUAUGUUUGGACAUAGCAAGAUUAGAAGAAACGAGAACCAAGGCCAGAGUGCUUAAAGAGUAUUCGUUUAUCAAAUACGGAGCCUCUGUCUAGCCUGAUGAUUACAUUACCUUCGGAUAAAGAAUAAAGUUCUGAGAUCUCAGCUCCCUUGAAGCUCGCCUAGCUUAGGCUGCUGUGGUGGAUCCUACUCCCUCCUUCCAUAAAUAAUGUAGCAAUUUGCUCUUAGGAGUAAAUUGGAACAUACAUGCACAACACACACAUAUGUAUAUAUAUCUUCUUCCACCAACCUGGCAGGCUGGGUUCCGGUGAGAGUGUUUGAAGUCACAAAAAGUGUGAAGGCUUUGCAAAUGACUAGUUCUUGGUUCUGUAAUAUUACUCUAGUUGAGUUGUUUGGACUCUGUAUUAGCUAAUCUCAAAUGCACAACUUCUUUCAAGUCGUUGCGUUUUCCUUGUUUCAUGUUGUUGUUUGCAGUUAGAUAUAUUGGCUUUGACAUUGGAGCAUUCUGAUCUAGCUGCCUGUUAAUUUAAAUGCACUUCCCUGUUGAAGCCUGCUUGGCCACUCUGGUGCAUUGGCAAUUCCAAGGUUUUAUAGGAAUUGAGAUACAUGUCAUCUCACUUCAUAUGAUUUUCCUAUUCCCAUGAUAUUCCUUAACUAUGAACCAAAGGAGGCCUUAAUUUCCUUUGACCGAGCUGGCUGGUCAAAAUAAUGCUCUCCUAUGUGUUUGUAUAGUGUUUUGCAACUCUGAUUGCUUAACUGCUGCCAUUUGGCCAUACUUUUGGAGGGUCAGUAGGUUGUUUCUGCAGUGCCCUUAAGUUUCUAUUCUCGUGAUCUUUUCUGCCAACUGAAUAUUGUUGCUCUCAUUGGUUUGUGCACCUUGAGAUUAUGUUGUCUCAGAUGUGGUUGCUGGUUUCUUGUGUUAAUUUCUUCCUUCUGCCUGCAUUUUCAUUGAAUACAGUUUAAGCAUUUUGGAAUGGAAAAUACUCAGUCUUGAGGCAUUUUAUUGUUGAGGUACGAGGUUGACCCGAUGAUUAACCUAAGAAUGAAGAUAUGAAUCCAAUUCUAGCCUUGAUGCGUUUUCCUUGAAUACAGUUUAAGCCUGAUGAUUAACCUAAGAAUGAAGAUAUGAAUCCAAUUCUAGCUGCUCCGCUAGAUGCUUUUCUUUCUUUCUUGGUAGGGUUUCUAGGGGAAUCUCUGAUGCUAUUCUCACUUUCCUCCCGCACCAUCUUUGCUUUGUUUCUGCAUCAAUUGGGUGGAGUGUUUCGCCUUGUCAAAAAAUAAUAAUAGCAAGACAGGGACUCUGCAGUGGCUCCGGCUCAGAUCGGGGCCGCGAAUGAUGCAUUCGUCUAGGGGAAUCGCUGAUGCUAAUCUAAAUUCACAGUAUCUUCUCUCAGUCUUUGCCUGAACGGACAUGAAUCCCGCUGGUGUUUGCUAUUCUUAGCAGUUUUUCCUAUGGAUUUUAAUUUGCUAAAUUUGUGUUGCAACAAAUCCGGCACAAACAUAAUUAGCAAAUGACGAUAAGGAAGACAGGGACUCUGCAGCGCUCCUGAUUUCAAAUCAGGGCCGCGAAUGAUGCAUCAGUCUAGGGGAAUCUCUGAUGCUAAUUUCCUUUUAGCUUUUUCUCUUGCAUUUUUAUCUUGAUUUAGGUGCUAUUAACUGUGGUAAAUACAGUGUGAGCAUUUUCACAAUGAUUUCUUUUAGCCAGAGGCACUUCCUUGUUCAGAUAAGCGGGGUGCACUGAACUGCCAGCCUGAUAAUUAUCUUCAAGAACGGAGAUCUGAACCCACUUCUCCGUGGAAGCCUGCUUGGCCGCUGUGCUUGUCGAAUAUCCUGGUUUCUUGGCUGGGUUCCUAAAAUGCAAAACCCCCAAAGUGCACCCAUCCAUCGAUGCAUCUCACACACACACACAUACAUGUACGCAUGAAGCAGGCCAAAUGGGCUCCGGGAGUGGAUGUGUAGAAGCAAAAGUUAUGAAGGCUUUGGCAGAUCAGAUGAAUGCCCCCACUAGGUUCAUGGUAUGCUUGUUGUAGGCUUGCCCACCUUCAUUGGUUUAAUGCCCUGGUGUUUUGCGGUGGAAAUCAUCAUGGCAAUAUCUGUUGGGUUCUGAACAUUACUUAUGUGUGAAUUGUAGUACUUAUGUUUGGACAUAGCAAGAUUAGCAGAUAUGGGAAUCACGGCCAGAAUAUGUAAUAGUAUCUGUUUAUCUUUAUGGAACCUUGUGCUUGGCCAGCCUGAUGAUUACACCUCUACAUAAAGAAUGAAGUUCUGAGGUCUGAAUGCUCUUCUCAGCUCCGUUGAAGCUUGCCUAGCUUAGGUUGCUGUGGUGGAUCCUACUCCCUCCUUUCCUAAAUAAUGUACUCCCUCCGUCCACAAAUAUAAGAUGUUCUAGCUUUUUGCUGAAUUGGAACAUGCAUGCACACAUGCAUAUAUAUAUAUUAUCUUCCACCAACAUGGCUAGCUGGGCUCCGGUGAGAGUGCUUGGAGACACAAAAAGUAUGAAGGCUUUGCUAAUGCAUAGAAUUCUUGGUUUUGUAUUAUUACAUAAGAUGCUUCGGCUGUUUUUCUUUCUUGUUCCGGCUGUUCGCAGUUGUUAAGUGGUUGUAACGAUGGCCUUGUGUCAUCCCUGGCCGGUUGAUGGCUUUGUUAAUUCAAAGCCGGGCUCUUCUUGAGCCUUCGCUCUAAAAAAAGAAACUUGUUUGGACUUCGUAUUAGCUAUCUCAAAUGCACAACUUCUUAUCAUAGUUGUUUUUUUCUCGUUUCAUGUUGAUGUUUGCAUGUAUCUAUUUGCUUUGUCAUUGGAGCAUUCUGAUCUAGCUGCCUAAUGAUUACCAUAGUGUGCAUUGUACAAAGAAUGGAUAUCUAAAUGCACCUCCUUGUUGAAGCCUGCUUGGCCACUCUGGUACAUUGGCACUUCCAGGUUUUUUUUUGGGAUCUGCUAGAGAUGCUCUUAUCCUGCUGUUGCUGUUGCUGCUACCUCCAUCACUGGUGUUCCAUUGGACGUCUAGGAGGGGAGUGGGGGUGGGGGGUCUGGCUGUAGAUGCUCUUAAUUUCCUAUGACUGAGCUGGCUAAGUGGAUUCCAGGGAAUAAAUAUGUUGAAGUAUGAAUGAAGGCUUGUCUGAUCAAAAGAAUGCUCCUAUAUGUUUCUAUAGCGUUUUGCAACUCUGAUUGCCUAAUGAUCAUUAGGGUAUGUUUUUGGAGGGUCAUUGGGUGUUUCUGCAGUGCCCUUAUAUUUCUAUUCUUGUGGUCUUCUCUGGCAACCGAAUAUUGUUGCUCUCAUUGGUUUGUGCAUGUUGAGAUUUCCUUGUGUACCUCCACACAUGGUUGCUGAUUUCCCGUGUUAAUUUCUUCUGUAGUACUUAUUCUGCCUGGGUUUUCAUUGAAAAGUUUUAGUCGGAGGCAUUUGUUGUUGAUUGAGGUAGGUGGUUCAGUGAAUCCCACUUGCCGCCGUGCUUGAUUGAUGCCUUCCCCCUCCUUUGUUUCUUGGCUGGGUUUCUCUUGGGAGUACAUUACAAACACACACACACACACACACACAUGCCCGCACAAAGCAGGCUAAAUGAGCUCUGGGAAUGGAUGUGUAGUAGCAAAAGCUAAAAGGCUUUGGCAGAUUUGAUGAAUGCCCCCCACUAGAUUCAUGGUAUGCCCCCCUCCAUAUUAGUGCUGCCCACCUUACAUGGUUUAGUGCCUGGUGUUCUGCUGUAGAAAUCAUCAUGGAAAAUCUGACUGGAUCUGAACGUAACUUCUGUGAGUUGUAGUACUUAUAUUUGGACUCGAGCAAGAUUAGCAGAUAUUAAAAUCAAGGCCAGAGUAUCUGUAGUAUUUGUUUGUCACAUACAGAACCUUUGUAUGCUUUGCCAUCCUGAUCAAGGCUAGAAUAUCUGAUAGUAUUCGUUUCUCAGCUCCGUUGAAGCUCACGCAGCUUAGGCUGCUGUGGUGGUGGAUCCUACUCCUUCUGUUCCUAAAUAAUGUAGCAAUUUGCUCUUAGGAGUUAAUUGGAACAUGUAUGCACACUCUGGGCUCCGGUGACGGUUUUUGGAGAGACAAAAAGUUUGAUUGCUUUUGGCAAAUGCACAGAAUGCUCAGUUCUGUAAUAGUAUUAUUCUAGUUGAGAACGUUGUUUGGGCUCUGUAUUAGUUUUCUCAAAUGCGCCGCUUUGAAUUUUUUUUCUUGUUUUGUGUUGAUGUUUGCAGUUAAUAUAUUUGCUUUGUCCUUUGAGCAUUCUGGUCUAGCUGCCUGAUGAUUACCACUAAGAAUGGAGAUCUGAAUGCACUUCCCUGUUGAAGCUCGCUUGGCCGCUUUGGUGGAUUGGCAAUUCCAAGGGUUUUUUGGGGUCCGUUGGAGUUGCUCUUAACCUGCUGCUGCUGCUUCCUCCUCCUCCUCCUCCUACUACUACUACUACCAUCACUUCAGUUCCUUGCAUGCCUGCAACUACUCAACCCUCCUAAACUCUUAAUUGCCUUUGAUCGAGCUGGUUAAGUGGACUCCAGGGAAUAAAUAUGUUGAUGCAAGAAGUAUGAAUGAAGGCUUGGCUGAUCAAAAGAGUGCUCCGAUAUGUUUUUAUAGCGUUUUGCAACUCUGUUUGCUUAAUUGGCCAUUUUUGGAUUAGGGUGUUUCUGCUAAGCUCUAUUCUUCCGAUCUUUUCUGGCAACUGAAUGUUGUUCCUUUUUCUGUUUGGUAUUGUCUUUUAUGGUUUGUGCACCUUAAAAUUUCCUUGUACCUCAGACAUAUUUGCUAAUUUCGUGUGUGUUUCCUCCGCCUGGGCUUAGUCUGAGGCACUUGUUGUUGGGUGUUGGGUGGGGCUUAGUCUGAGGCACUUGUUGUUUGGUGUUUGGUGGGGGUUGUCAAGUGUAUUGCAAACCUGAUGAUUAGCCUAAAAAUGGAAAUCUGAAUCCAUUUCUCCGUUGCUUGGCCGCGUGCUUGGUUCAUCCCCUCCUUUGUUUCUUGCCUGGGUUUCUCUCAGUAGUAAAUUGCAAAAAACCCAACAUGCAUGCAUGCACACAUGUACGCACAAAAAGCUUUGGCAGAUUGUUGAAUGCCCCCACUAGAUUCAUGUUAUGCUUGUUUAAGUGCAUUUUAGAAUAGUUUGUGGCUGCCUGUUUUCCUUCCAUGGUUUAUUGCUUGGUGUUUUGCUGUAGAAAUCAUCAUGGAAAUAUUUGUUGGGUUCUGAACAGUUGGUGCCCUCCUUGAAUGCUUUAGUGCCUGUAUUUUGCUGUGGUUAUCAUGGAAAGAUUUGUUUGGAUCUGUAUCUUAUGUUUGGCCUAGUAUUCGUUUAUCAGAUACUAAACCUUUUGUGCUUGACCAGCCUGAUGAUUACCUAUGGCAUAAAGAAUGGAGACCUGAAUGCCCUUCAAAGCACGCCUAGCUUAUGCUGCUAUGGUGGAUCCUACCCCCUCCAUUCCUAAAUAAUGUACUCCCUCCUUCCAUCUAUAUAGGGCCUAAUGCGUUUUUCGAGGCUAACUUUGACCAAAUGUUAAUAAUAUAUGACAUGCAACUUACACAAAGCAUACGGUCAAAUUUGUGUGUGAAAGGAGCUUCCAAUGAUAUAAUUUUCACAUUAUACAUCUCAUGUACUAUUAAUCUUGUCAAUAGUCAAAGGCGGUUUUGAAAAAUGCAUUAGCCCCUAUAUAAAUGGAAGGAGAGUGUAGCAGAUUGCACAAAGCAGGCUAAAUGGGCUCUGAGAAUGUGUGUGUAGAAUGGGCUAAAUGGCCAGCCUGAUAAAGGCCAGAAUAUAGGCUUUCUCAGCUCCUUUGUACCUCACCGAGCUUAGGCUGCCGUGGUGGAUCCUACUCCCUUCAUUCCUAAAUAAUGUAGCAACUUGCUUUUGAGGAGUAAUUUGGAACAUGUGUGCAACUCUAUAGAUAUAAUCUCUGAUCUUCCAGCAACCGGUUAGGUGGGCUCUGGUGAUGGUGUUUGGAGAUACAGAAGUUUGAAGGCUUUUGGCAAAUGCACAGAAUGCUCAGUUCUGUUAGGUAGAAAGUUGUUUGGUUUCUGUAUUAUUUUUCUAAAAUGCACAACUUGUUUGAAAUAUUUUUUUUCUUGUUUUGUCUUGAUGUUUGCAGUUGAAUAUAUUGGCCUUGUCCUUUGAGCAUUCUGGUUAGCUGCCUGAUGAUUACCACAAAGAAUGGAGAUCUGAAUGCACUUUCCUGUUGAAGCUCGCUUGGCCGCUUUGUUGCGUAGGCAAAUCCAAGGGUUUUUUGGGGAUCCGUUGGAGAUGGUCUUAACCUCCUGCUCCUGCUCUAAUACCACUUCCACCAUCACUGCUGUUCCUUGCAUGCCUGGAACUACUCAACCCUCCUGAACUCUUAAUUUCUUUUGACCGAGCUGGCUAAGUGGACUCCAGGAAUAAAUAUGUUGAUGCCAGAAGUAAUAACGAAGGCUUGGCUGAUUGAAAGAAUGCUCCUAUAUGUUUGUAUAGCGUUUUGCAUCUCUGUUUGCUUAUUGAUUAGGGUGUUUUUUUUGGAUUAGGGUGUUUCUGCAGUUUCAUUAAAGCAAUAUUCUUCCGAUCUUUUUUGACAACUGAAUGUUUUUUUUUGCUGUUUUGGUUUUGUUUCCUUGGGGACCUCUCAGACAUGGUUGCUGGUUUCUUGUGUACUCCUCUGCCUGGGAUUUUCAUUGAAAAAUGGCAUUUGUUGUUAAGGUAGGGAGAGGGGGUGCAUUUCUCCUGUUGAAGCCUGCUUGGUGUUUGUGAUGUCCCUGAUUCAAUCGUACAUUAAUCAUACACAUAAACGUGUACGAUCAAGAUCAGGGACUUAUUGGAAAAUAUCAUAACAUAACUCUAAAAAUAAAAUAAGUCAUACAAGCAUCAUAAUACAAGCCAGGGGCUUCGAGGGCUCGAAUACAAGUGCUCGAUCAUAGAUGAGUCAGCGGAAGCAACAAUAUCUGAGUAUAGACAUAAGUUAAACAAGUUGCCAUAAGAUGACUAGCACAAACUGGGAUACAGAUUGAAAGAGGCGCAGGCUUCCUGCCUGGGAUCCUCUUAAACUACUCCUGGUCGUUGUCAGCGUCCUGCACGUAGUACUAGGCACCCUUGGUGCAGUAGGAGUCAUCAUUGACGGUGGCGUUUGGCUCCUGGGCUCCAGCAUCUGGUUGCGACAACCAGGUAGAAUGGAAAGAGGAAAAAGAGGGAGAAAAGCAACCGUGAGUACUCAUCCAAAGUAUCUGUGUAAAGGGCAAUAUCGGUGGACUAAACUGCAGAAUGCCAGAAUAAGACGGGGAUAGCUAGUCUUGUCGAAGAGAGUAGAUGGUAAGUUCACCAAGAUCCUCCCCUCGUCGCCCUGUGUGAGAGCGAUCACCGGUUUAUAUUUGGCACCUUGAAGGGUGUGUUUUAUUAAGUAUCCGGUUCUAGUUGUCAUAAGGUCAAGGUACAACUUCGGGUCGUCCUUUUUGAAAGAAUCGAGAUGGACCUAGAGGGGGGGGGGUGAAUAGGUACAAUUACAAAUUUUACUUGGUACUUAGCAAUUUUAGGCACUAAUGCGGAAUAUGAAAGUGAGCCUAACAAUUGCAAGUGUAGUACUAAGUGCUAAGCAAGAUAAACAAGUAACACAAGUAUACAAGUAUGUAAGUAAACAAGCACAAUAUGAUAUAAGUGCUAAGAGACAAUUAACCACAAGUAGAGAGUUAGGGUUAGGAAUAACCGGAACUUUGGGAGACGAGGAUGUAUGCCGAUGUUCACUUCCUUGGAGGGAAGCUACGUCACCGUUAGAGAGGUGGAUGUUACCACGAAGGCACCAACGCCACGAAGGCUCACCCUAUUCUCCCUUUAAGACAACACCACGAAGGCCUGGUAGACCUUGGGGUGGUCUCCAAACCCUCACAAACUUUUCCGGGGGUAAUCAGAAAGGUCGAUUCCUCUCCGAAAGACUCCUACCGCUUAGGAGUCUCCAACCUCCAAGAGUAACAAGAUCGAUGGGGAAAAUCUCAAGACUUGCUCAAAUCACGAAUUCCUUAGGUGCAAAGAAGGGGAAGAGGUGGAUCUAUCACUUGAUCGGACAACUUCUCUCCAAAGCUCUCAAAUCCCUUGGGGAUCUAAGAUUUGGUGUGGAGGAAUGAGAGAGAGAGUGAGAAGUGUUCUAGGGUUUGUUUAAAGUGAAUGGUUAACCCUCUCCUGUGAAGAAGAAGGGCUAUAUAUAGUGUGAGCACAAAUAUGGCCGUUGUAGUGCAAGUGAACGGGCAGGCCGGACAUCCGGGCUAGGGGCCGGACAUCCGGCCUGGCAAGCCACUUGAAGAACAAGGCAGAACAGAGCAGGAAACAGAGGGGUCGGACAUCCGGGUUUCAAGCUCGGACAUCCGGCACAACAGGAAAGCCCGGACAUCCGGAAGAUAGCCGGAUAUCCGGGGAGCCCACAAGCGUUUACAGAAACAUAUCAGUUUUACGGGCAGUAAGGGGCCGGAUAUCCGGGAAAGGGCCUGGACAUCCGGCGAGACAGGAAGGCCCGGAUAUCCGGCGAACACCCGGACAUCUGGCGUAAAAUAGACAACCUUCUGUAAAGGGCAAAGGCAAGAGCAAGAUAUCCGGGGCAUGAGCCGGACAUCCGGAGAGCGGCCCGAACAUCCGGCACGAGGCCCGGACAUCCGGCACUCCCAGAGACAGAAUGAUUUAAAGAUAAGGAUGGAUAAAAAGAACUAUGGGAAGGAGUAUUUUGACUAGAGCAAGUCUUUUACGAACCCAAUCGAUCCCCUCUUAAUAGUGCGGGAUCCUAUACUCAAGGAAACAAAAUGUAACAUCAUUUUAACACUUCAUUCUUGAGAGAAACCACUUCGUAUGCUCUUGAUCCACACACAAUUUGACGAACUGGGGACCAACACCUAAGAUUCACUUCACAACCAUUGUUAGUCCCCUACAUGUAGAUUGUCAUUAACAUCAAAACAUAAUGUAAGGGCAUGAUUGCAAUUUCAAUCUCUCCCUUUUUGUUUGUUGAUGACAAUCAUACAUGUAGUAUCAUAUAUAUAAUAAAUAAUCUUAGCAAUGACAAUCAUGAGAGCAAAAAGGAUACAAAAUAUGUUUAGUUACAAUUUGCUUUUAGCUCCCCCUCAUUGUGUGCAUGCGAUGAAUAUAUUAGGAUGACCAACACAAAAGUUCACAUAUGAAAUCAUCAUAACACAUCAAUUAGACUGAGAACAUUUCAUGGCCACACGAUAAUAACAUAGUCUCAGACGAACAAGUGGCCACACGAAAAUAACAUAGUCUCAAACGAACAAGUACCAUAGGUAGCAACAUAAAGUUGGAAUAACAUAUCAUAGCUAACAUAUCAUAGCAUGACCAUAUUACUAAGAUACUACUUCUCCCCCUUUGAUAGCAACAAGUAAAAAAGGGGCGAAGAACUAAACGGUCUCGGUCACUCCUGGCGGAUGUCAUCAUCAGCAACAAAGAACUCUGGGUACUCAUCAUGAGACGGGAAACCGAAGGUGGAGGUGGAUGGAGCCGCAGGAAUAGGAUCAUCAUCACUCACGGGGCUCCCACGGUCACGAAGACGCUGCUUGAGCUGAUUCUUGGAGAUGAUGAGGCGCUUCUGAACAUCAUGAUUCUGCUGACAGCUGAAAGUGACCGCCUUCAUGAUAGCAGACUGAGCCUUACCCGAGAAUGAUGCAAGACGGCCACGAGGGGCGGUCGAGGAAUAUGGAACAGAAGAACCAAUGGGCUGAGUAGGAGCAGCUGUCUUCCCACCAGCAGACCUCUUAGGCUGAGUAGGAGCAGUAGCCACCACGCGCAUAUGAGGAGGAGGCUUCCAAAUGGAGUGCAUAGCUGACUUAACCACCUCAAAGGGAGCAGUGUGAUCAAUCAGAGCCUGAAUAAAUGGAGCAUGAGGGAACUGGCGUGUCUGAAACUGCAAAGACGGAUCUCAUGCCAAAUGAAAUUGGCUGUGUCCAGAGGCUCAGUGGGUUUGUCAUGCAUACGAACCAUCAAGUCAAUGCAAUAGUUGCGAGCCCUCGAGCGAUCUCCCUUCUUAGGGUAGAGAGUGCGAAGCACACACUGAUAGAGGAUGAAGAAGGGAGCACGGAAGAUGGAUACCUCAUUGACUGGAUAUGCUUUUUCUUCUUCAGUGAGCUGAGAGGGAGGUUUUACAAGUGGCAAGCAAGCAUCAAUCCCUCUGGGCUUGUACUCUGGAUCCAUACUGUGGAUGCAAUGGCCAACACAGGAGAGACCCAAAAUCUGAACAAACCUAUCAUAGGUGAUGCUCAGUGUAGUGUCAUCGGUCAUCCAAGUGAGAGUGUUGUCCGGACCAAAGAAACAUGUGGCAUAGAACUGUAGAAUGGCAGCUUCACUCCAAUCACACCUGAAGGUCAUUGCGGGACCAAGAGUCAUAUCAUCAAUGAUCUUGACCGGAUCAUGAGGGAACAUGGCAGGAUUAUCACACAGGAAGUUUAGAUCCAAGUAUGAGUGAGGAGCAAGGCCACACCCAUGGACAAAACUGGAAUAGAGAUCCUGCUGCAUACGAGUCCGGAACCGAGGAUCUUCGGCAUCAGCCACCAUCUCAUAUUGAUUGACAUCCCGACGGAACUGAAGAUAUUGCCCCGCCCCCACAGUUGUGAAGUCGUGAGUGGGGCGACCUCCACUGUCAGGAAGCUCCAUGGAGAUGCGACGACCAUGGACAAUGGGCAUUGCAGAACCACGAACUUGAGGCACCGGCGCCCUCCUAGUACCGGGCUUGGACUGUCCAACAGACUGUCUUGGUGCACUGUCAUCCUCUUCCUCCCCAACAUAGUCUGCAUCAUCUGGAUCCGAGGCCGACGGACUGGUGGAUGGUGCCCGCUUCUUCUUCUUGGUGGUGGUCUUCUUCUUCUUAGGCCGAGCAUGCUCAUCGGAGUCGGUUGAGCCUUGCCGGCGAUCAACUGGAAAGGAUAAUGAAUAGGUUCCGAUAAGAAGAAGCCAACAAGUAGGAACACGGAUAAAAUAAUUAGCCGAGUACACAGAGAGAUUUUUAGGCUUAGGCAAGAGACACUAAAACUCGAGAAAGAUAUAGAUCCCAAGAUUUGCAUGAGAGAAUGAACCCCUAAGGUCACCAUAAAAGAGAAUGGAGUAGAGAUAGCAUCCAUACCCCGGGAAGAAGGCACGGGGCGAUUGGGGCCGCAGUUCUUGGUUCGUGCCAUGAGGAACUCCGGCGGUGAAUCCACGGUACACCGGUCCCUCCCGAGGGAUUCACACCACAACCCAAGAAAUGGAUUGGAUAGAAUCGUAGAUCGGGAGGAGGGGAAUCCGUGAGCAGGAGAUCGGGGCCGGAGGUCGAUGGAGAGGGUCGGGGCAGCACCGGAGCGCCAGCCUGGCGGCGGCGGCCGUGAGGCGAGAGGUGGAUAGAAGCGAAAGAAGUGAGUAACCGCCCCCAAAUCCCACGCCCCUCCCCAGUCAUAUGUGGCUGCGGGCGACGGGCUGGACAUCCGGGGCAAGGCCCGGAUAUCCGGCGAGCGGUAGACAGAGAACAGAAGAAGCAACGCAAUGGGCCGGACAUCCGGGUAUAACCCCGGAUAUCCGGCGCGAGGAAAUCAGGCAGCAUGGGUUCAGGGCCCGGAUGUCCGGCUGAGGCCCGGAUGUCCGGCCACUGGAAGUGGUUGAUGAUUGUUUGGAGUGGCAAGGAAAUUAUCCCAGGGCCUGGAUGUCCGGCGGGGGAGCCGGAUGUUCGGCCACUGGACAGAAGAGCAGGGCAAGGGAAAGAUGUGAAGGAGGCCAAUAAGUAUAAUUUGAUAUAGACUCCGCCAAGAAGUUUUUCUUGAGAUUAAUAAGGGUGAAAACCUGAGAAAUCUAAGGCCAUACUAAGAUGUAUUAACAAUCCAAAAUAUAUUGAGAAGGAAAGGUCCAGACAAGCAUUGUACAAGCGGUGACCAAGGUCACCAUGUUUGAGCAUAUGGAACAUGGUAUCACAAAGAUGUAAACUUUGAGCACAUGGUCACAACUCCAUCAUGUUAAAGUACCCUAGUUCGAAAACUAUGAUAACUUUGAGAGUGUUUGUUCUUUUUAUGCAUUAUGUAAGGUGAGAGUACUCAUGAAUUGAGUGUCUCCCCCUAAAUAUAUGCCUACAUCAAGACAAGACAUUUAGUUUAUGCAUGAAUGGGUACUAGAUUUCACAUAAUGUUGUCAAGCUCCAAGAUACCAAGUUCACGCCUAAGUUGACAAAACCUUGCUUCGUCCAAUGGCUUGGUGAAAAUAUCUGCAAGUUGCUUAUCUGUGCCAACAUGAGCAAUGUCAAUAUCACCCUUCUCCACAUGAUCUCUCAAGAAGUGAUACCUGAUAUCAAUAUGCUGAAGGAAAUAUGCCCUAGAGGCAAUAAUAAAGUUAUUAUUUAUUUCCUUAUAUCAUGAUAAAUGUUUAUUAUUCAUGCUAGAAUUGUAUUAACCGGAAACAUAAUACAUGUGUGAAUACAUAGACAAACAGAGUGUCACUAGUAUGCCUCUACUUGACUAGUUCGUUGAUCAAAGAUGGUUAUGUUUCCUAGCCAUAGACAUGAGUUGUCAUUUGAUUAACGGGAUCACAUCAUUAGGAGAAUGAUGUGAUUGACUUGACCCAUUCUGUUGAGGAUAUAGACCUUAGAGUCACCCGCCAGGAGGGGCCGGGUUACUCGAAUGGUCAUUGCCAGAAGCCCGGAGCCAAGUUUCAAGACGAUGGGCCAGAGAUGGGCUGAGACCCGGAUACGGCUUAAGGCCCAUAGUUACAAUCGUUAUUAUAGUAGAACUUGUAGUGUAAGGCAAGUAGGAUUGAGAGUCCGGACCGGACACUCUUAUGAGCCGGCCGGGACUCUAAGGGCUGCUGGGCGUCAGCCUCACUAUAUAAAGGGACGACCCGGCAGCGGUUUAAGGGCGACAACAAUCUCAUCAAGAGCCGGGCAUAGCUGUUUAGCUCCCUGGCGAUCUUAACCCUAAUCAAUAACACCUCAAACUGGACGUAGGCUUUUACCUUCACCGUAAGGGGCCGAACCAGUAUAAACCCUCGUGUUCCUUGUCCCGCAUAACCCCUUCAAGCUUCCUAGUUGCGAUGGCUCCACGACUAAGUCCUAGCUCGAGGACAUCUGCCGUGACAAUCCCACGACAGUUGGCGCCCACCAUGGGGCUAGCACACGGUGGAUUUGAGUUCUUGAAGGGCAGCUUCGAAGGGCUCAAGGGAUACGCUGUAGGCCGGAUGACCAAGAGUCGUCGCGGCAAGCUCUACAUCGACGAUGCGGACUGGGGCCCCGACGCCGGCUCAAUUGAGUACGGGUACCGGGUCCCCUUUGGCGGAAUUCAUGUCUUCAUUGGCAAGAUUGGUGAGCCGGGCCCCGAGCCGGAUUUGAGUUCUUGAAGGGCAGCUUCGAAGGGCUCAAGGGAUACGCUGUAGGCCGGAUGACCAAGAGUCGUCGCGGCAAGCUCUACAUCGACGAUGCGGACUGGGGCCCCGACGCCGGCUCAAUUGAGUACGGGUACCGGGUCCCCUUUGGCGGAAUUCAUGUCUUCAUUGGCAAGAUUGGUGAGCCGGGCCCCGAGCCGGAUCUCCGCGCCGAUCUCAUCGAAACGGCUCAGCGCGCACGACCCGCCCGGGCCCGGCCUGCCUUAAGGCGCGCUUUUGUGGGAUGCAUCCAUGGAGGGCCCUUUGAUCCAUCUGGGUCCGGUGAUGAGGCGGCCGCCGGCUCUGACGGCGAGUCGGCCAUCGAUGAGUCAAACUCGUUGUACCAACUUCAAGAUGGUAGGCUCAUGGGGUGUUCCGAUGGCGACAGUAUUCCGGACCUUUUUGAGCCGCCAAGUCAGGUUGGAGUUUUUAUGGCUGGUGCGCAGCCUGUUCAGAACCCCGCUGCUGGAUCGGGAAACCCGGUGCCUUCUCCGGCUCAGGUGCUGAUGGAUCUCACGGACAAGAUGACGGCCCUGUUAACCGCCACGGUUGACCCGGCAGAUCAAGCCCAGCAUGAUGCGGAGGUGGCACAGUUGAAAUUGGAUCUAAUAAAAGCUAAAGAGGAUCUUGCAGCAGAAGGAAUCAGGCUGGCUGCGGAGCGGGCGGCUCUCGACGCCCGGACUCAGCUGAUUCAGGCGCAGUCCUUCCAACUCACGAUGGAUCAGAACGCGGCCAACGAGGUCAUGAGAAGGAGGCAUCAGAAGGCCCAGUCUCGACUCCCACCGGUUUACGAUCCACGCAAUCUCUUCAACACGCCGGGUGCAGGGUCUAGUAACCCGCCAGGGGUCAUUGCGCCCGGGUCCGGACCCCUUAUUCAGCCACGGGUGAUGGGGCCUCCCCAGGUGCCCCCUGCCCCGCCUCAGUAUAUGCCAAUACCCCCGGGUCAUUAUGAUAACCCGCUGGAGAACAUGGUGGCAGCGGCAGCACGACUGGCGGCUCUCCCCGUUGACGGCGACUCUUCGGCAGCCAUCGAAACCCGCCGGGUCAGGGAACUCCUGCAGACGGCUCUGGCACAGCAAGAGGCGUACUCCUACAGCUGGGACAGGAUCCACUCGACCCCUCGUCCGGGCCAGAGCCCGAGUUAUAGCCGGCACAUGGUCUCAGCAACCGGCUCAAGUAAUGUCCGACGCCAUGACCCGCCCCUUGGCCAUGGCCCGGUUCAUAAUGGAGCUUUUUACGCAGCAGACCAAGCGCGGCAGGAGGCGGAGCAGGUGCCUCAAUUAACGGCUUACCAGACCCCCCCGGCUUAUCCAACGACUUCUGUUGAUGUGAGUAUCCCUACCAGGACCGGGGGUGUCCCUUGUUUGGUGCCAGCUAUCCGUAAUGAACGUCUGCCCAAGGACUUCAAAGGCCCUAGGAAGGUGCCUAACUAUACAACGGACUUACAGCCUGCAGCCUGGAUUGAGAGUUAUGAGAUGGCUAUGGAACUGCUGGAGGUUAGUGAGGCGGCCAUGGCCAAAUAUUUCACCAUGAUGUUAGAUGGGACUGCCCGCACGUGGUUGAAGGGGCUACCACCGAACUCCAUUGGGUCUUGGGCUGAGCUGAAAGCCCGGUUCAUUCAAAACAUCAAAGAUACCUGUAGGCAGUCUAUGUCAAUUGUGGAUUUGACUAACUGUAAGCAGCAGGAGGGUGAAUCCACGACCCAUUGGGUUCGCCAGGUCAAGGAGAUCAUACAUUCAUCAGAUAAGAUGGAUGCCGGCUCUGCAGUCUUAAUGUUGGAACAGAACUGUCGCUUUGUGCCCCUUAAAAUGAAACUCGGGCGGCUUAAACGCGACUGCACCGAUAUGGGUACCCUAAUGGCGGCUCUUGUCAAGUACGCCGAUUCUGAUGGUACCAAGGAUCCCCCUUCAGACGAUGAAAGGACAGGGAAGGGAAAGAAGAGCGGCAAUGGCAAGGGUCUUCAGUUUAACCCGGGGAACCAAGAAGGAGGCAAGCGUAAGGCCGAUGGCAGCCUAGAGUUUGUAGCCAACACCAACUCUCAAGGUAAUAACCAGCGACGCAAGGGGAGGCCCCCUCCCUGAGGCGGCGGGUCAGGGCCUUCUCUGGAGCAGCUGUUGAAUGAACCUUGUCCGAGACACGGCUCUAGAGAGAAGCCAUCGACUCAUCUGUGGAAGGAUUGUGCUAUCAUGAAGGCCUUUAAAAACUACAAUGGCCCGGGUGGCGGUUUAGGUGCCGGCGGCUCAGGCGCCGGUGGCUUUCAUGGCCCGGGCGGCGGCUCAAAUUCCGGUCCUCAGAACGGUCAAGGGGGCUUCAAUCAACAGUCGGGUCAAGGUCACCAACAGCAGCAAGGGGGUUAUCAGACCAACCCAAAGCAGCUUAGCGGUGGACAGUAUCAUGUGUUCACCACCAGUUUGUGCAAACGAGAUCAGAAGCUUCACAAGAGGGCUGUUAAUGCUGUUGAGCCGGCAGUUCCACGCUACUUACGGUGGUCUGAGCAGCCUAUAGUGUGGAGUAGGGAGGAUCACCCUCCCCGGGUGGAUAACCCGGGCCACUUGGCCUUAGUGGUGGCUCCUCAGCUGGGAGGCUAUAAGUUCACAAAGGUACUCAUGGAUGGAGGCAGCAGCAUCAAUAUCCUCUAUUAUGAGACUUUUCGCCGUAUGGGGUUGGUUGAUAAGAACCUCAGCCAGUCAAACACUAUCUUCCAUGGUGUGGUACCCGGUAAGCCGGCUUAUCCAGUUGGCAAGAUCGAAUUGGAAGUGGCUUUUGGUGAUGAGAACAACUACAGGGUGGAGAAGUUGACCUUUGAGGUGGUCAAGAUAAGAAGUCCAUACCAUGCUAUAUUUGGACGGCUGGCUUACGCCAAGUUCAUGGCACGGCCGUGUUAUGUGUACUUACAGCUCAAGAUGCCGGGUCACAAUGGGACCAUUACGGUUCACGGCAGCCGGAAAGUGGCUCUGGAGUGUGAGGAAGGUGAUGCAGCUUAUGCAGAGUCUGUUUGCGCCACAGAGGAGUUGAAGUUUUAUAAAGACAAUGUUGACCCAACAGAUAUGACCUCUCUGUAAAAGCCAACCACAGAGAAUGAACCAGCAAUGAAAUUUAAGUCAGCUGGCGAGACUAAACUUGUUGAUUUUGUUCCAGGUGACUCGUCUCAGCAGUUUAGCAUCAGUGCAAAUCUGGACCCGAAAUAGGAAAGCGCGCUCAUCGAGUUCAUCCGUGAGAAUAGGGACAUCUUCGCAUGGAAACCUUCUGACAUGCCAGGUGUACCUAGAGAACUCGCUGAGCACACUCUCAAUGUUGAUCCGAAAUUUAAGCCGGUCAGACAGUUCCUUCGGCGGUUUAAUGAAGAGAGGCGAAAAGCUAUUGGUGAAGAAGUGGCCCGGCUCUUGGCGGCCGGGUUUAUCGUUGAAGUCUUUCACCCAGAGUGGUUGGCUAACCCGGUGCUCGUGCUCAAGAAGAACGGCACCUGGCGGAUGUGUGUGGACUACACGGACUUGAACAAGGCGUGUCCGGCUGAUCCUUUUGCUCUCCCCCGUAUUGAUCAAAUCAUUGAUGCUACGGCAGGUUGUGCACGCUUAAGUUUCUUGGAUGCCUAUUCCGGGUAUCAUCAGAUUAAGAUGGCAGUUAAGGACCAGGAGAAGACGGCGUUCAUCACUCCCUUUGGAGCCUUCUGCUAUGUGUCUAUGCCCUUUGGACUCAAGUGUGCACAGGUGACUUACCAGCGUUGUGUACAGAAUUGUCUUCAUAAACAGAUCGGGCGCAAUGUUCACGCUUACGUGGAUGAUAUUGUGGUUAAAUCCAUCAAGGAGGAAACCCUGAUAGAUGACUUAAGGGAAACCUUCGAUAAUCUCCGGGUCUAUAAGAUGAUGCUCAACCCGGCCAAAUGUGUUUUUGGUGUUCCGGCAGGCAAACUAUUGGGCUUCUUGGUUUCUGACAGAGGCAUUGAGGCUAACCCGGAGAAGAUCAAGGCCAUCACCUCCCUAGCUAAGCCGGCGUGCAUAAAUGACGUACAACGCUUGGCGGGUCGCAUCGCUGCUUUAAGCCGGUUUAUAAGCCGUUUGGGUGAGAAAGCCAUGCCUUUAUAUCAGUUGAUGAAGAAAACUGAUAACUUUGUCUGGAAUGAUGCAGCUAAUACCGCCUUUGAGGAUCUGAAAAGGCAGCUGGCAGAGCCCCCAGUCCUUGCUGCUCCGGUUGAUAAGGAGCCCUUGCUACUGUAUGUGGCAGCAAACGCACGAGCCGUCAGCGUGGCUAUUGUGGUGGAGCGCAAGGAGGCGGGUAAGGAGCAUCCGGUUCAGCGGCCGGUUUAUUAUGUCAGCGAAGUGCUCAUUGAGUCCAAGCAGCGGUACCCGCAUUGGCAGAAGCUUGUGUAUGGUGUGUUCAUGGCGAGCCGGAAGCUUAAGCAUUAUUUUCAGGGUCAUCCCAUCACUGUGGUCAGUUCUGCCCCUCUUGGUGAUAUUAUUCAAAACAGAGAGGCCACAGGGAGAAUUGCUAAGUGGGCUAUAGAACUUGGGCCUCAUGGCCUUAAAUAUAUGCCACGCACUGCUGUUAAAUCUCAGGCCUUGGUGGAUUUUAUCAAUGACUGGACAGAGUCACAAGUACCUGAGCAAAAGCCAGAUAACACUUAUUGGACUAUUCAUUUUGAUGGGUCCAGACAGCUGGAGGGCUCGGGGGCUGGCGUUGUAUUAGCUUCCCCUAAGGGUGACAAGUUCCAUUAUGUGCUACAGUUGAUGUUUCCUUGCACUAACGAUGCGGCUGAGUACGAGGCUUUGCUCCACGGUCUUCGGGUGGCUAAGGAGAUGAGCUUAAGCCGGGUAAGGUGCUUUGGUGACUCAGACUUGGUGGCUCAACAAGUAUCAGACACCUGGGAUUCUAAGGAUCCUCUCAUGGCGGCUUAUCGCUGCGAGGUUGAUGCCAUUGCUGGGCAUUUUCAGGGAUACCAAGUGGAGCACAUUGAUCGCAGGAAGAAUGAGGCGGCUGACGCUUUAAGCCGGCUAGGCUCUCAGCGCAAGCCGGUGCCGCCUAACACUUUCCUGGAUGUCCUGUAUAACCCCUCGGUUAAGUUGCCUACAGAGGAGGACUUGGCUAUCCCUGACCCGGAGGCACGACUGGUGGCGGCUCUUCAUGUCAUACCAGAUUGGACAAUGCCAUAUCUGGCUUAUAUAACCCGGGGAGAGUUGCCUGAGGAUGAAACUCUGGCCAGGCAAAUAACCCGGCGGACUAAGUCAAUGAUUGUUAUCGACGGCGAGUUGCAUCAUCGCAGUGUUUCAGGGGCAUUUCAGCGUUGUAUCUCCCCUGAGGAAGGUCAAGAGAUCUUGCGCGAGAUCCAUGAAGGGGAUUGUGGCCAUCAUGCCGGCUCAAAAUCCCUUGUGGCCAAGGCUUUCCGUCAUGGUUUUUAUUGGCUGACGGCUCACGCUGAUGCAGAGGACUUGGUCAGUAAAUGUGAUGGUUGCCAAAGGUUCUCACGACGGGCUCAUGUGCCGGCUCAGGAGUUGAGGAUGAUCCCAAUCACUUGGCCCUUUGCGGUCUGGGGGCUUGAUAUGGUUGGGCCUUUUAAAAGGUCCAAGGAUAAGAAGACCCACCUCUUGGUGGCAGUUGACAAAUUCACGAAGUGGGUGGAGGCUGAGCCAGUUAGCAAGUGCGAUGCAGCCACGGCGGUUCAGUUUAUGAAAAAGGUGAUUUUCCGCUUUGGCUUCCCGCAUAGCAUCAUAACUGACAAUGGCACCAAUCUAUCCAAAGGCGCUAUGGAAGAGUUUUGUCAACGAGAGCAUAUCCGACUUGAUGUUUCCUCAGUGGCUCACCCCCAAUCCAAUGGUCAAGCUGAGAGAGCUAACCAGGAGAUUCUGAAGGGCAUCAAACCCCGGCUUUUGGUCCCUUUGCAACGGACGCCGGGUUGUUGGGUGGAGGAGUUGCCCUCCGUCUUAUGGAGCAUCAACACUACUCCUAACAGGUCUACAGGCUUCACGCCUUUCUUCAUGGUUUAUGGAGCAGAAGCAGUCCUCCCCAACGACAUCCGUCACGAUUCACCUCGCGUGGCGGCUUAUGUUGAGACGGAUAAUGAACAGGCGCGCCAAGAUGCUCUGGACUUGUUGGACGAACAACGUGAUGUGGCAGCAGCCCGUUCAGCGAUUUACCAACAAGACCUGCGCCGUUAUCAUAGCCGCCGGGUCAAAUCCCGGGUCUUUCAGGAAGGCGACCUUGUGCUCCGGCUCAUCCAGGAUCAAACAGAUGCACACAAGUUAUCCCCACCUUGGGAAGGGCCCUUUUGUGGUCAGCAAGAACUUGCACAACGGGUCAUAUUACCUCAUUGAUAUUCGGGAACAUAAAGAUUCGCGUAAGUCUGAGGAAGAGACCCGUCGGCCGUGGAACAUAGCUCAGCUUCGGCCUUACUACACUUGAGCUACCGGCUCUCGUGGUGUACAUAUUUAUCUCAGCCAUGUAUAUAUUAUGAUAAGCAAUAAAGCAGGACCUCUGUCCUUUUCUCUCCUCCAAAUAUAUGUGUGUUGUUUUUUACAUGCUGACUUAAAGGAGGAUCCGGCUUAUGAUCGUAUUCGAAUCUAGCCGUAAGCAGUAAAGUCACUUGGGGCUUCCUGUUCAAACAUGGGUCAUAUUCGAACCAAAGAGAACAUAGCUGUCGAUACCCAUUUGAUUGGCAAUGUGCCGAGCUCAUUGGGAGGUUGCCUUUGGUCAUAUUUGAACCAUAGUUUAACCCCUCUGAGAACCGACGUAGAUCGUAUUCGAAUCAGCGUCGUUAAACAAUUUUAAGAAUCACUUGGGGGCUUCCUGUUCAAACAUGGGUCGUAUUCGAACCAAAGAGAACAUAGCUGUCGGUACCCUCUUGAUUGGCAUCGCCACACCCACUCGGGGCUAUAUGAUCGUAUCCGAAUCUUGUCUUAACCCCUUUGGGCCGGGUCUCUGGUCGUAUUCGAACCGGAAGCCCCUAAGCUCUUCUGCUUUUUCACAAGUUUACCCUGAGGUAUGCAUGACCGGGUCUCACUUGCCGGCUUAACUUUGGUUUACAGUGUUAGCUGCACGUCAUGAGUGUCAUCAAGGCAAGUAAAUCAGAGUUAAGGUGUCAACCUUACUACCCGGGUUGUCUAAAACCGGCAGUAUACCUACAGGCCGUUAAGUGUGAUUGUUACGAUUAUGUUCAGAGUAUAAUUAAGGACCAGUCUUUUGUUUGAUUCAUAUUCCGGGUUGUCUAUCUCAAACACCUGAUUCUCAGGGCGGUAAGCCGCCUCGAGACCUGUGAUUUGCCUUUCUAUGCAGAUAUUUAAAGACACCUUUUGAGGUUGAGAAAAACAACGGGAUGGUUAUGACCCGGAGAAACAUCAAAGAGACAAAUUCAAAGAGCUUUCACAUUCAACCGUGCACGAUGGCACGGCAGGGAUAAACUGUUGCACCUAUUCUAUUACAAUAACUCUUCAAGUCUAAAAGGUGGAACAAUGUUUGAUAACCCGCCAGCUAACUUAUGACGCCUGCUGAGUGGAAGUCCCCGGCUCAUUUCUGUCUUCUCCUCCGGCUGAUCCCAGGACCUCGAAGGUCGAUGAUUUCCAGUUGAUGCCGCUGAGAGCUUCGAACUGGGCUUCUUCGUCAAUUAGCCCGGCCGGGUCAAUCUCCGGGGCGAAGGUGUGCUGACGAGCCGGCGGGAUCAGAUUGAGGGCUUCAUAGCGAGGGCUUGGAAUCCUCUGAUUCUCCGCAUCAUAACCCGGCUGGUACUUGGUUAAGUCGGUGUCGUUCCCGAUGAGGGUGGCCACCAGGCGUACAGCCUUCACACAUGCCGCGAAGUCCUUCUGGUCGAAGGCUGAGCCGUCUUCCUUCAGGCUUGGGUAACCCAGGGCGAUGUCUGCCGGGUCUAGCUCUGGCAGGAAUGCUUUGGCCUGGCUCAGCGCGGCAAUUGCUCCAGCUCUCGCGGAGGCCCGUCGUAGCUCCUGGAUCCGCUGCGGCAGAACAGCGAGCCGGCGCAGGACUUCGGCCAGAUGAGUUAGCACCUCGUUGGAUAGGGCCACCACAGCUAAGGCACGCUGUGACCCGGUGUAGAGCUGUUCCACCAGGGUGUACACGACCUUUAACUUGGUGACCACGCUCUGGUUGAGGUUGGCACUCCUGGGACCUGUUUCACAAGAUCAGAUAAGCCGGUGACAAGGAUGAAUCAUGACAUAUACAGACUUAAUGAAAGCCGGUGAGGCGACUUACCGAAGAUGGCGGCUACCAUUUGGGAAACCUGGCGCUUUAGGCCGGAGAGCUCGGCGGCUUUCUCAGAGAGCGCCUUCUCCGCCUGUUCCGCCCGGGUCACCAGGGCGGCCUUCUCCUCAGCCCAGGCCUUCCGCUCAGCAUCAAAUUCGGUCUUCAGCUUCUCUUGAGCGGCGAUGCUGGAGACGAACUUGGCGUUUGCCUUCCGGGUCUCCAUCUCCUGUGUCUUCAGCCGGCUCUUGAGAUCCGCAAGAUCCGACUCUAAUUUCUUGCCAAUAGCCUGCAUAUAUUUCCGGGUUAUUAAUAGUCAUUAUAUAAGUCCCAAGCGCUUUCCAAGCAAAGACACUUGGCACUUGGGGGCUAAUGCAUAUUGAAUGUAUCUAUCUGCAUACUGCCGGCUCAGUUGAGUAAGCCGGAAUCUAAGUCUACAACAUAUUCAAGACUAUGCAGUAAAGUAAGAAGACAACAGUAGGUUACCUCGGACUUUUGUUGGAUUUGGUUAACCAUGGCAACCUCGGCGUCCCGGCUCUUGUGGACUUGGUUGAUGUAGCCAGAGACGAGCUCUCCAAUGCUCAAGUCGGUGUAGCCGGAGAGGUCUAGGUUCACCCGGUGGGGCUGCAGUAACUCCCCCUUCGUGGAGCACUUGGCCAACGCGGUCGGUCUCCCCAGCUCAACGAAUUCCGUCCGGGUGAUUACCACGUCCGGGUCGUCUGCUGGAGGGGCUGAGCCGGAGGCCUCCGGGUUAACCGCCGCUUCGGUCGUUGCCUUGGUAGUCGGGGCAGGGGCUUCAGGCGCCGUGUCCAUUGGAAUGGUGGCUUCGGGGGCGGAGGAACCCGGCGGUUCUUGAGCCGUCGCCUCCGGGUCAGGCAAGUCUGGCACUCCGGCUGACCUGGUUUUCUUUGCUCUUUUGGUGAGCUUUGCCUGGGCACUGAAAAAACAGAAGUGUUAGGCACACAAAGAGUAAGUACAGACAGAUAAUGUAAGGAGAUUGUUAUUACCCGAGUGCAGUCUUGAAGGCCGGCAGACUUGACUGCAUGGAGUCACCCGAAGAUGGGGAGGUCUCCUGAUAAUUAGAGUCAGAAGAGUUGAGUGGCUGACGGAUAACACCCGCCAACGGAUGAAAAGGGUACAGGUGAGAAAAACCUCAGUACGACGCUUCCUGGUUGCGUCGGGUAACCCGGCGGGGAGGUCGGUGUCUUUGCGGGCCCGGGUGUGACGCCGGCUUUCGUGAACCUGCUGCUUCAAAAGAAAUUGAGGGUCUUGAUGAGCUAAAGGAUGUGAAAAGCUUACAUUUCGGGUUACCCUUCAGACUUUCAGCUGUGGCAAAGGCUCCGAGUCGGAGGAAAGUGACAUUACCUCUUCAACCACCGGGUUAUUGGCGCCGGUGUCAUCCUGUCAAUAAGCAAAUGUUGAUAAGGCGGACAUAAACAAACAACAAAUAUGACAAGAAUUUAAAGGUUUAACGAUUACCUCUGACUCGGAGCUGUCGCUUAAUUGCAGUAGCUCCGAAGCAGUGGGCCUGCUUCCCUUUUUGCGAGGGGCGGCUUUCUUGGCGGCUUUCUUCGCCUUCCUGGCCUUCUUGGCCGCCUCAUGGUCAUACUUGACCCGCCAGAAUUUGUCAUCAGCCUGAGAAAUACAGUAAUGAAUUCUUAAAACGGUUCAGAUCAAGGUGAUAUGUAAAAGAAGUUGAAAAGUUAAAGUCAGCGGCUUACCGCUGGGGCUGGAUUGGUCUUGCAGAAGGGGGCUAGCCCGGUUCUUCCGCAGUCUGCCAAGCUCUCGUUUAGAAGAGCCUUGGUCUCUUCCUCCGCAACGUCUUCUGGAAGAUCAUUGCGACUGUGCCUCUGCGGGUCAUCCUUUCGCCCGGUGUACUCACACAUUAAGCCGGGGCGGCGGCUCAAUGGGAUCACCCGCCAUGAGAUCCAGACCCGGACCAGAUCAAUUCCGUUCAGACCGUUGCCUAGCAGGGCCUUGAUCUUGUUGAUCGUUGGAAGCAGAGGCUGGCGUUCCGCGGCAGUCAGUUUGUCGGAUAGCGGGUGAGUCGGCUCUAGGCGUGUUGGGCGAAAGCCGGGCAGCGGGUUCUCAUCAGCCGGGGACGUAUCUUGGCAGUAGAACCAAGUCAUAUUCCAGUCCUUCGGGUGGCUCGGCGGCUCUGCGUAAGGAAACAGACAGUCCCUACGCCGCUGGAUGGAGAUGCUACCUAAUUCCAGACUUGGCCCGUUGGCACACUCAUUUUGGCGGUUUAAAUAAAACAGCUCUCUGAAGAGCAGCAGACUCGGCUCUUCUCCAAGAUACACUUCACAAAAGACUUGGAAGUUGCAGAUGUUGGAUACGGAGUUGGGUCCUAUAUCCUGAGGCCGAAGGUCAAAGAAGUUGAGCACGUCCCUGAAGAACUUUGAGCCGGGCGGUGCGAAGCCCCGGCUCAUAUGGUCUGCAAAGAUCACUACCUCCCCGUCCCUCGGCUGUGGUCUUUCUUCUGACGGAUCAGGGGCACGGUAGGACAUCACUUCCUUCUUGGGCAGAUAUCCGGACUUAACGAAGUUGGCCAGGGUCUCGUCAGUGACGUUGGAUCUCAUCUAGUUGCAAGUGAUGGGAGCCUUGGGAGGCAUGGUGAAGGUUGGUGCUCUAUGAUAAAGAGAAAAAUGUCCGGGUUAAUUGUAAGCCGGAGAUUAUCAUUCAAACUAAGAUGGCGGCUUAUGAAGGGGACUAAUGAUAUAUAUUCAGAUACGGUGGGUUAUUUAAGCCGUAGGGGGUUCAGAGUAAAUUGGUUAUUUACGGCUUUACUACAGUUAAGCCGGAGGAUUCUACAGAGCAUGGUUCUCUUUAAACCGGGAAGUUCUACGGCGUGUGUUUUCUUUAAGCCGGAAAUGUAAGCCGCCAAGAUUCGAGGGCUGCAGUUUUUGUUAAGUGUGGUAAAACAGGUUUCACGUAUUGCAGUAACUUUUUUGGAUCAAAAUGGUCGGGUGAAAUGAAAAUUUUCUAGACCUAAAAAACAGAGGCAGGAGAAGUUCUUGAGGCUGAACACAGUUCUUAUGCAGUAAAAAGAGGGUUUCUUGCAGAUGAAAUGGAUCUCAAACAUCUAACGCAGUGGUUCUAUGCAAGGUUAAAGAUCAACCAAGUACAGUGGCAACAAGGACUACCGAAGCUUGUGGCUAUGGUGACGAACAUGAAGAACACAGACGAACUCUACCACAGAUCUGUUCUAGCAAGGCAGAGGAGACUCACCGGAGUUGGGGAAGAGCGGAAGUCGCCGCCGUUAUCUGGUCCGAGUCAGGGUGAUGCAGCGGCCGGGUUGAUGAAGAUCAAGGGCGCGACGGCGGCGGCAGUGGUAGAGCUCGGGCAGAAGGGCGACGGCGCGAGGAGGAAGAAAGAGAGCGUGGGAAGAGCACGUUGGGCCGGCCUAUUUAUAAGGCGAAGUCAUAAGUGGGCGCGAGAUUCAAGGAGACCAUGGCGUGGUUAUCUCCCCCUCACGACGCCUCGAUUUUCGGAAGGACAGUAAAAGCAAAGAUCCGUUGCGGAUCUGGCGGAGUAAAAAACGGACUUAAUGGAGGAUGACGUCACGGCGGAUUAUCCGGAGUCCAGAGGAUGACGUCACUCCGGGUUAUGGCCUUCACACGAAUGGUAAGCCGGAGAUUUUUUCUGUUGGCAGAGUUGAAGAUUGACAUGAGCCGGCUCAAGUCAAUCUGGGGCCUAAUGUUGAGGAUAUAGACCUUAGAGUCACCCGCCAGGAGGGGCCGGGUUACUCGAAUGGUCAUUGCCAGAAGCCCGGAGCCAAGUUUCAAGACGAUGGGCCAGAGAUGGGCUGAGACCCGGAUACGGCUUAAGGCCCAUAGUUACAAUCGUUAUUAUAGUAGAACUUGUAGUGUAAGGCAAGUAGGAUUGAGAGUCCGGACCGGACACUCUUAUGAGCCGGCCGGGACUCUAAGGGCUGCUGGGCGUCAGCCUCACUAUAUAAAGGGACGACCCGGCAGCGGUUUAAGGGCGACAACAAUCUCAUCAAGAGCCGGGCAUAGCUGUUUAGCUCCCUGGCGAUCUUAACCCUAAUCAAUAACACCUCAAACUGGACGUAGGCUUUUACCUUCACCGUAAGGGGCCGAACCAGUAUAAACCCUCGUGUUCCUUGUCCCGCAUAACCCCUUCAAGCUUCCUAGUUGCGAUGGCUCCACGACUAAGUCCUAGCUCGAGGACAUCUGCCGUCACUAUCCCACGACACAUUCCGUUAGCUUAGCACUCGAUCGUUUAGUAUGUUGCUAUUGCUUUCUUCAUGACUUAUACAUGUUCCUAUGACUAUGAGAUUAUGCAACUCCCAUUUACCGGAGGAACACUCUGUGUGCUACCAAACGUCACAACGUAACUGAGUGAUUAUAAAGGUGCUCUACAGGUGUCUUCAAAGGUACUUGUUGGGUUGGCGUAUUUCGAGAUUAGGAUUUGUCACUCCGAUUGUCGGAGAGGUAUCUCUGGGCCCACUCAGUAAUACACAUCACUUUAAGGCUUGCAAGCAUUGUGACUAAUGAGUUAGUUACGGGAUGAUGUAUUACGGAACGAGUAAAGGGACUUGCCGUUAACGAGAUUGAACUAGGUAUCGAGAUACCGACGACCGAAUCUCGGGCAAGUAACAUACCGAUGACAAAGGGAACAACGUAUGUUGUUAUGCGGUCUGACCGAUAAAGAUCUUCGUAGAAUAUGCAGGAACCAAUAUGAGCAUCCAGGUUCCGCUAUUGGUUAUUGACCGGAGAGGUGUCUCGGUCAUGUCUACAUAGUUCUCGAACCCGUAGGGUCCGCACGCUUAACGUUACGAUGACAGUUAUAUUAAGAGUUUAUAUGUUUUGAUGUACCGAAGGUUGUUCGGAGUCCCGGAUGUGAUCACGGACAUGACGAGGAGUCUCGAAAUGGACGAGACAUAAAGAUUGAUAUAUUGGAAGCCUAUGUUUGGACAUCGGAAGUGUUCCGGGUGAAAUCGGGAUUUUUCCGGAGUAGCGGGAGGUUACCGGAACCCCCCAGUAACUUAAUGGGCCUUAGUGGGCCUAGGUGGAAGAGAGGAGAGGAGGCCAGGGCAGGGCCGUGCGCCCCUUCCCCCCAGUCCGAAUAGGACAAGGAGAGGGGGGCGGCGCCCCCCUUCCUUCCUCCCCUCCACCUCUUCCCCCUUUCUCUCCUAGUCCAACAUGGAAAAGGGGGGGGAGUCCUACUCCCGGUAGGAGUAGGACUCCUGGCGCGCCUCUCCUCUAGGCCGGCCGAACCCCCCCCCCCUUGCUCCUUUAUAUACGGGGGCAGGGGGGCACCUCUAUACACACAAUUGAUCAUUGAUCUCUUAGCCGUGUGCGGUGCCCCCCUCCACCAUAUUACACCUCGAUAAUAUCGUAGCAAUGCUUAGGCGAAGCCCUGCAUCGGUAGAACAUCAACAUUGUCACCACGCCGUCGUGCUGACGAAACUCUCCCUCAACACUCGGCUGGAUCGGAGUUCGAGGGAUGUCAUCGAGCUGAACGUGUGCUGAACUCGGAGGUGCCGUGAGUUCGGUACUUGAUCGGUCGGAUCGUGAAGACGUACGACUACAUCAACCGUGUUGUGUUAAACGCUUCCGCUAUCGGUCUACGAGGGUACGUGGACAACACUCUCCCCUCUCGUUGCUAUGCAUCACCAUGAUCUUGCGUGUGCGUAGAAUUUUUUUGAAAUUACUACGUUCCCCAACAGUGGCAUCCGAGCCAGGUUUUAUGCGUUGAUGUUAUGCACGAGUAGAACACAAGUGAGUUGUGGGCGAUAUAAGUCAUACUGCUUACCAGCAUGUCAUACUUUGGUUCGGCGGUAUUGUGAGAUGAAGCGGCCCGGACCGACAUUACGCGUACGCUUACGCGAGACUGGUUUCACCGUUGCGAGCACUCGUUGCUUAAAGGUGACUGGCGGGUGUCUGUCUCUCUCAAUUUAGUUGAACCGAGUAUGGCUACGCCCGGUCCUUGCGAAGGUUAAAGCAGCACCAACUUGACAAACUAUCAUUGUGGUUUUGAUGCGUAGGUAAGAACGGUUCUUGCUAAGCCCGUAGCAGCCACGUAAAACUUGCAACAACAAAGUAGAGGACGUCUAACUUGUUUUUGCAGGGCAUGUUGUGAUGUGAUAUGGUCAAGACGUGAUGCUAUAUUUUAUUGUAUGAGAUGAUCAUGUUUUGUAACCGAGUUAUCGGCAACUGGCAGGAGCCAUAUGGUUGUCGCUUUAUUGUAUGCCAUGCAAUCGCCAUGUAAUUGUUUUACUUUAUCACUAAGCGGUAGCGAUAGUCGUAAAAGCAAUAGUUGGCGAGACGACAACGAUGCUACGAUGGAGAUCAAGGUGUCGCGCCGGUGACGAUGGUGAUCAUGACGGUGCUUCGGAGAUGGAGAUCACAAGCACAAGAUGAUUAUGGCCAUAUCAUAUCACUUAUAUUGAUUGCAUGUGAUGUUUAUCUUUUAUGCAUCUUAUCUUGCUUUGAUUGACGGUAGCAUUAUAAGAUGAUCUCUCACUAAAAUUUCAAGAUAAAAGUGUUCUCCCUGAGUAUGCACCGUUGCCAAAGUUCGUCGUGCCCAGACACCACGUGAUGAUCGGGUGUGAUAAGCUCUACGUCCAUCUACAACGGGUGCAAGCCAGUUUUGCACACGCAGAAUACUCAGGUUAAACUUGACGAGCCUAGCAUAUGCAGAUAUGGCCUCGGAACACUGAGACCGAAAGGUCGAGCGUGAAUCAUAUAGUAGAUAUGAUCAACAUAGUGGUGUUCACCAUUGAAAACUACUCCAUUUCACGUGAUGAUCGGUUAUGGUUUAGUUGAUUUGGAUCACGUAAUCACUUAGAUGAUUAGAGGGAUGUCUAUCUAAGUGGGAGUUCUUAAGUAAUAUGAUUAAUAGAACUUAAAUUUAUCAUGAACUUAGUACCUGAUAGUAUCUUGCUUGUCUAUGUUAAUUGUAGAUAGAUGGCCCGUGCUGUUGUUCCGUUGAAUUUUAAUGCGUUCCUUGAGAAAGCAAAGUUGAAAGAUGAUGGUAGCAAUUACACGGACUGGGUCCGUAACUUGAGGAUUAUCCUCAUUGCUGCACAGAAGAAUUACGUCCUGGAAGCACCGCUAGGUGCCAGGCCUGCUGCAAGAGCAACACCAGAAGUUAUGAACGUCUGGCAGAGCAAAGCUGAUGACUACUCGAUAGUUCAGUGUGCCAUGCUUUACGGCUUAGAACCGGGUCUUCAACGACGUUUUGAACGUCAUGGAGCAUAUGAGAUGUUCCAGGAGUUGAAGUUAAUAUUUCAAGCAAAUGCCCGGAUUGAGAGAUAUGAAGUCUCCAAUAAGUUCUACAGCUGCAAGAUGGAAGAGAAUAGUUCUGUCAGUGAGCAUAUACUCAAAAUGUCUGGGUAUAAUAAUCACUUGAUUCAACUGGGAGUUAAUCUUCCGGAUGAUAGCGUCAUUGACAGAAUUCUUCAAUCAUUGCCACCAAGCCACAAGAGCUUCGUAUGAACUAUAACAUGCAAGGGAUGAACAAGACAAUUCCCGAGCUCUUCGCAAUGCUAAAGGCAGCGGAGGUAGAAAUCAAAAAGGAGCAUCAAGUGUUGAUGGUCAAUAAGACCACCAGUUUCAAGAAAAAGGGCAAAGGGAAGAAGAAGGGGAACUUCUUGCUGUUCAGGAGAAGAAACCCAAAUCUGGACCUAAGCCUGAGACUGAGUGCUUCUACUGCAAGCAGACUGGUCACUGGAAGCGGAACUGCCCCAAGUAUUUGGCGGAUAAGAAGGAAGGCAAGGUGAACAAAGGUAUAUGUGAUAUACAUGUUAUUGAUGUGUACCUUACCAGAGCUCGCAGUAGCACCUGGGUAUUUGAUACUGGUUCUAUUGCUAAUAUUUGCAACUCGAAACAGGGACUAUGGAUUAAGUGAACACUGGCCAAGGACGAGGUAACGAUGCGCGUGGGAAACGGUUCCAAAGUCGAUGUGAUCGCCGUCGGCACGCUACCUCUACAUCUACCUUCGGGAUUAGUAUUAGACCUAAAUAAUUGUUAUUUGGUGCCAGCGUUGAGCAUGAACAUUAUAUCUGGAUCUUGUUUAAUGCGAGACGGUUAUUCAUUUAAAUCAGAGAAUAAUGGUUGUUCCAUUUAUAUGAGUAAUAUCUUUUAUGGUCAUGCACCCUUGAAGAGUGGUCUAUUUUUAAUGAAUCUCGAUAGUAGUGACACACAUAUUCAUAAUGUCGAAGCCAAAAGAUGCAGAGUUGAUAAUGAUAGUGCAACUUAUUUGUGGCACUGCCGUGUCUCAUGGGCAAGAUGACUAAAACACCGUUCUCCGGAACUAUGGAGAGAGCAACUGAUUUGUUGGAAAUCAUACAUACAGAUGUAUGUGGUCCGAUGAAUAUUGAGGCUCGUGGCGGAUAUCGUUAUUUUCUCACCUUCACAGAUGAUUUGAGCAGAUAUGGGUAUAUCUACUUAAUGAAACAUAAGUCUGAAACAUUUGAAAAGUUCAAAGAAUUUCAGAGCGACGUUGAAAAUCAUCGUAACAAGAAAAUAAAGUUUCUACGAUCAGAUCGUGGAGGAGAAUAUUUGAGUUACGAGUUUGGCCUACAUUUGAAACAAUGCGGAAUAGUUUCGCAACUCACGCCAUCCGGAACACCACAACGAAAUGGUGUGUCCGAACGUCGUAAUCGUACUUUACUAGAUAUGGUGCGAUCUAUGAUGUCUCUUACUGAUUUACCGCUAUCGUUUUGGGGUUAUGCUUUAGAGACGACUGCAUUCACUCUAAAUAGGGCACCAUCGAAAUCCGUUGAGACGACGCCUUAUGAACUAUGGUUUGGCAAGAAACCAAAGUUGUCGUUUCUUAAAGUUUGGGGUUGCGAUGCUUAUGUGAAGAAACUUCAACCUGAUAAGCUCGAACCUAAAUCGGAGAAAUGUGUCUUCAUAGGAUACCCAAAGGAGACUGUUGGGUAUACCUUCUAUCACAGAUCCGAAGGCAAAACAUUCAUUGCUAAGAAUGGAUCCUUUCUAGAGAAGGAGUUUCUUUCGAAAGAAGUGAGUGGGAGGAAAGUAGAACUUGAUGAGGUAACUGUACCUGCUCCCUUAUUGGAAAGUAGAUCAUCACAGAAACUAGUUUCUGCGACACCUAUGGCAAUUAGUGGGGAAGUUAAUGAUAAUGAUCAUGAAACUUCAGAUCAAGUUAUUACUGAACCUCGUAGGUCAACCAGAUUAAGAUCCGCACCAGAGUGGUACGGUAAUCCUGUUCUGGAGGUUAUGUUACUAGACCAUGACGAACCUACGAACUAUGAAGAAGCGAUGGUGAGCCCAGAUUCCGCAAAAUGGCUUGAAGCCAUGAAAUCCGAGAUGGGAUCCAUGUAUGAGAACAAAGUAUGGACUUUGGUUGACUUGCCCGAUGAUCGGCAAGCCAUUGAAAAUAAAUGGAUCUUCAAGAAGAAGACUGACGCUGAUGGUAAUGUUACUGUCUAUAAAGCUCGACUUGUUGCGAAAGGUUUUCGACAAGUUCAAGGGAUUGACUACGACGAGACUUUCUCACCCGUAGCGAUGCUCAAGUCUGUUCGAAUCAUGUUAGCAAUUGCCGCAUUUUAUGAUUAUGAAAUUUGGCAAAUGGAUGUCAAAACUGCAUUCCUGAAUGGAUUUCUGGAAGAAGAGUUGUAUAUGAUGCAACCGGAAGGUUUUGUAGAUCCAAAGGGAGCUAACAAAGUAUGCAAGCUCCAGCGAUCCAUUUAUGGACUGGUGCAAGCCUCUCGGAGUUGGAAUAAACGCUUUGAUAGUGUGAUCAAAGCAUUUGGUUUUAUACAGACAUUUGGAGAAGCCUGUAUUUACAAGAAAGUGAGUGGGAGCUCAGUAGCAUUUCUGAUAUUAUAUGUGGAUGACAUAUUGCUGAUUGGAAAUGAUAUAGAAUUUCUGGAUAACAUAAAGGGAUACUUGAAUAAGAGUUUUUCAAUGAAAGACCUCAGUGAAGCUGCAUAUAUAUUAGGCAUCAAGAUCUAUAGAGAUAGAUCAAGACGCUUAAUUGGACUUUCACAAAGCACAUACCUUGACAAAGUUUUGAAGAAGUUCAAAAUGGAUCAAGCAAAGAAAGGGUUCUUGCCUGUACUACAAGGUGUGAGAUUGAGUAAGACUCAAUGCCCGACCACUGCAGAAGAUAGAGAGAAGAUGAAAGAUGUUCCCUAUGCUUCAGCCAUAGGCUCUAUCAUGUAUGCAAUGCUGUGUACCAGACCUGAUGUGUGCCUUGCUAUAAGUUUAGCAGGGAGGUACCAAAGUAAUCCAGGAGUGGAUCACUGGACAGCGGUCAAGAACAUACUGAAAUACCUGAAAAGGACUAAGGAUAUGUUUCUCGUUUAUGGAGGUGACAAAGAGCUCAUCGUAAAUGGUUACGUUGAUGCAAGCUUUGACACUGAUCCGGACGAUUCUAAAUCGCAAACCGGAUACGUGUUUACAUUGAACGGUGGAGCUGUCAGUUGGUGCAGUUCUAAGCAAAGUGUCGUGGCGGGAUCUACGUGUGAAGCUGAGUACAUAGCUGCUUCGGAAGCAGCAAAUGAAGGAGUCUGGAUGAAGGAGUUCAUAUCCGAUCUAGGUGUCAUACCUAGUGCAUCGGGUCCAAUGAAAAUCUUUUGUGACAAUACUGGUGCAAUUUCCUUAGCAAAGGAAUCCAGAUUUCACAAAAGAACCAAGCACAUCAAAAGACGCUUCAAUUCCAUCUGGGAUUUAGUCCAGGUGGGAGACAUAGAAAUUUGCAAGAUACAUACGGAUCUGAAUGUUGCAGACCCGUUGACUAAGCCUCUUCCACGAGCAAAACAUGAUCAGCACCAAGACUCCAUGGGUGUAAGAAUCAUUACUGUGUAAUCUAGAUUAUUGACUCUAGUGCAAGUGGGAGACUGAAGGAAAUAUUCCCUAGAGGCAAUAAUAAAGUUAUUAUUUAUUUCCUUAUAUCAUGAUAAAUGUUUAUUAUUCAUGCUAGAAUUGUAUUAACCGGAAACAUAAUACAUGUGUGAAUACAUAGACAAACAGAGUGUCACUAGUAUGCCUCUACUUGACUAGCUCGUUGAUCAAAGAUGGUUAUGUUUCCUAGCCAUAGACAUGAGUUGUCAUUUGAUUAACGGGAUCACAUCAUUAGGAGAAUGAUGUGAUUGACUUGACCCAUUCUGUUAGCUUAGCACUCGAUCAUUUAGUAUGUUGCUAUUGCUUUCUUCAUGACUUAUACAUGUUCCUAUGACUAUGAGAUUAUGCAACUCCCAUUUACCGGAGGAACACUCUGUGUGCUACCAAACGUCACAACGUAACUGAGUGAUUAUAAAGGUGCUCUACAGGUGUCUCCAAAGGUACUUGUUGGGUUGGCGUAUUUCGAGAUUAGGAUUUGUCACUCCGAUUGUCGGAGAGGUAUCUCUGGGCCCACUCAUUAAUACACAUCACUUUAAGGCUUGCAAGCAUUGUGACUAAUGAGUUAGUUACGGGAUGAUGUAUUACGGAACGAGUAAAGGGACUUGCCGGUAACGAGAUUGAACUAGGUAUCGAGAUACCGACAACCGAAUCUCGGGCAAGUAACAUACCGAUGACAAAGGGAACAACGUAUGUUGUUAUGCGGUCUGACCGAUAAAGAUCUUCGUAGAAUAUGCAGGAACCAAUAUGAGCAUCCAGGUUCCGCUAUUGGUUAUUGACCGGAGAGGUGUCUCGGUCAUGUCUACAUAGUUCUCGAACCCGUAGGGUCCGCACGCUUAACGUUACGAUGACAGUUAUAUUAAGAGUUUAUAUGUUUUGAUGUACCAAAGGUUGUUCGGAGUCCCGGAUGUGAUCACGGACAUGACGAGGAGUCUCGAAAUGGACGAGACAUAAAGAUUGAUAUAUUGGAAGCCUAUGUUUGGACAUCGGAAGUGUUCCGGGUGAAAUCGGGAUGUUUUCGGAGUACCGGGAGGUUACCGGAACCCCCCAGUAACUUAAUGGGCCUUAGUGGGCCUAGGUGGAAGAGAGGAGAGGAGGCCAGGGCAGGGCCGCGUGCCCCUUCCCCCCAGUCCGAAUAGGACAAGGAGAGGGGGGCAGCGCCCCCCUUCCUUCCUCCCCUCCACCUCUUCCCCCUUUCUCUCCUAGUCCAACAUGGAAAAGGGGGGGGGGGAGUCCUACUCCCGGUAGGAGUAGGACUCCUCCUGGCGCGCCUCUCCUCUAGGCCGGGCGAACCCCCCUUGCUCCUUUAUAUACGGGGGCAGGGGGGCACCUCUAUACACACAAUUGAUCAUUGAUCUCUUAGCCGUGUGCGGUGCCCCCCUCCACCAUAUUACACCUCGAUAAUAUCGUAGCAGUGCUUAGGCGAAGCCCUGCGUCGGUAGAACAUCAACAUUGUCACCACGCCGUCGUGCUGACGAAACUCUCCCUCAACACUCGGCUGGAUCGGAGUUCGAGGGACGUCAUCGAGCUGAACGUGUGCUGAACUCGGAGGUGCCGUGCGUUCGGUACUUGAUCUGUCAGAUCGUGAAGACGUACGACUACAUCAACCGCGUUGUGUUAAACGCUUCCGCUAUCGGUCUACGAGGGUACGUGGACAACACUCUCCCCUCUCGUUGCUAUGCAUCACCAUGAUCUUGCGUGUGCGUAGAAUUUUUUUGAAAUUACUACGUUCCCCAACAUAUGCUUGGUGCGAGUAUGAUCUUUGGGGUUCUCAGCAAUAUUGAUGGCACUUUCAUUAUCACAUAGAAGAGGCACAUGUCUAUAGGUGAUACCAUAAUCCUUCAAAGUUUGCCUCAUCCAUAGUAAUUGAGUUGCACAGCUGGCGGUCGCAAUGUAUUCAGCUUCUGCGGUGGAGAGGCCAACACAAUUUUGUUUCUUCGAGGACGAACUUACCAAGGAGCGUCCAAGAAAUUGACAUGCACCGGAGGUGGACUUACGAUCCACCUUGUCUCCGGCCCAAUCCGCAUCCGUGUACCCAAUGAGAUCAAACUUAGCAUCCUUGGGGUACCAUAGUCCUAACUUUGGGGUGUGAACAAGGUAUCUAAGAAUAUGCUUAACCGCCUUAUGAUGGCUUUCCAUAGGGAAAGGUUGAAAUCUAGCACACAUGCAUACACUAAACAUGAUGUCUGGUCUAGAUGCACAAAGAUAAAGCAACGAACCAAUCAUAGAGCAGUAUUUAGAUGGGUCGAAUGGGGGUACCGUUUGAGUCUGCAGUGAGUACAAUUUUGGUUGGCAUGGGUGUCUUACAUGGGCUAGCAUUAGUCAUGCCAAAUUUUGCUAGGAUAUCCUUGAGGUAUUUUGCUUGAGACAAGAAAAUUCCUUCUUGAAAUUGUUGAAUUUGAAAUCCGAGGAAGAACUUCAAAUCCGUAUUGAGUGACAUUUCAAAAUUCUUGGUCAUUGAAGCCGCAAACUUCUUGCACAAAUGAAUGUUAGGAGAACCAAAAAUGAUAUCAUCUACAUAGAUUUGGCAUAAGAUCAAAUCACCUUUGUCCCUCUUAGUAAAAAGAGUGGGAUCGAUCACCCCUCUCACAAAACCAUCAUCGAGUAAAAACUUCUUAAGAUGAUCAUACCAAGCACGAGGUGCUUGUUUGAGGCCAUACAAAGCCUUAUGAAGUUUAUACACAUAGUCUUUUUGAUCGGGAUCAACGAACCCAGGUGGUUGUGAUACAUAUACUUCUUCUUGCAGAGGACCGUUAAGGAAAGCACUCUUCACAUCCAUUUGAUGUAAUGUAAAACCAUUGAAAGCAGCAUAAGCAAGUAAGAUGCGAAUGGAUUCAAGACGGGCAACGGGGGCAAAGGUCUCACCAAAGUCCAAACCUUCAACUUGUGAGUACCCUUGUGCCACUAACCUUGCCUUGUUGCGGAUGAUUAACCCAUUCUCAUCUUGCUUGUUCUUGAAAACCCAUUUUGUUCCAAUGACAUUGUGUUCCGUAGUUGGCCUUUUGACUAAUGACCACACUUGGUUGCGCUCAAAACUAUUCAACUCUUCUUGCAUAGCAAUGAGCCAAUCAUUGUCCAUAAAAGCUUCUUGUACCUUGAGAGGUUCAACACUAGACACAAACGAGAAGUGAGCACAAAAGUUUGUCAAUUGUUUACGAGUGACUCUACCUUCCGAUAUGCCGGUGAGGAUUUUAUCAAUAUCAACACGACCGGCCACUCGAGGCAUGAUGGAGGUAAGUGUUUCACGAGGUUCAACUUCAUGUCCAUCAUCCACGUCCUCAACAUAUGGAUCAUUAAUGUGUGGUGGAAGAUCUUCUUCUUCAUCUUGCAUUUGUUGAGGUUCAUUGUCAAUGAUUACACUUUAUUGUUCUUGCCCUUGAGGAUGAUCUUGCUCUUGAUGAUCACUAUGAAGAGGAGCUUGAUCAUCAUCUUGUAUUUGGUCUACGGGCAUUGGUUGAACAAUGGGAGCUUGUGGUGGUAUGGGUGUUGACGUAGUUUGAUGAUGUGCGAAGCUUCCAUCUUCUUCUUCAUCAUCAUGAGGUUCUUGUUCCAUUGGGAGAAGUGCGCCAACACCCAUGUCAAGAUAUCUUGAGAAGAAUCGUCUUCACCUACAUCACUUAGAUUAACUUGCUCCCCAUGGGAGCCAUUAAAUUCAUCAAACACCACGUCACAAGUUUCUACAACACAUCCAUUGGAUUUGUUGUAGACUCUAUAGGCAUGAGAGUUUGAUCCAUAGCCAACAAAUAUACCCUCAGUUGUUUUAGAUUGAAAUUUUCCUAACCAUUCUCUUUUGUUGAUGAAGCAUUUGCACCGAAAUACACGAAAGUACUUGACAUUUGGCUUGUUCCCGGUUAGGAGCUCAUAUGGAGUCUUUUCCAACAUCGUGCGGAGGAAGAGCCGGUUUGAUGCAUGACAUGCAGUGUUGACGGCCUCGGCCCGAAAACUAUGUGGUGACUUGUAUUCAUCUAACAUGGACCUUGCCAUCUCCACAAGUGUGCGGUUCUUUCUUUCUGCUACACCAUUUUGCUGGGGAGUGUAUGGAGCUGAAUAUUGAUGCUCAAUCCCUUCAUCAGUAAGGAACUCUUGCAAGGUGUAGUUCUUGAACUCAGAUCCAUUAUCACUUCUUAUUGCCAGAAUUUCUUUGUCAAACUUGCGUUGUGCUUGCUUGGCAAAAUCAAUGAAGGUGAUCUUCGUCUCGUCCUUGGAUUUGAGGAAGAAGACCCAUGUAUACCUUGAGUAAUCAUCCACAAUGACAAGCCCAUACUUUUUCCCACCAAGACUAUCCCAUGAAGGAGGCCCAAAAAGAUCCACAUGAAGGAGCUCCAAAGGCGUUGAAGUAGACACAAUAUUCUUGGGUGGGUGCUUUGAUUGACGUUGCUUCCCGGCUAUGCAUGCACUACACACACGAUCUUUCUCAAAGGAGACAUUUUUUAGUCCAAGGAUGUGAUUUCCCUUUAAGAGAUCUUGAAGAUUUCUCAUGCCGACAUGGGCUAGCCGGCGAUGCCAUAGCCACCCCUUGUCGGCCUUAGCCAUUAGACAAGUUGCAUGGAAUGUGCUCUCUUUCGAGAAAUCAACCGUGUAAAGGUUGCCAUCCAACUCUCCAAUAAAGGACACUUCGAGAGUAUCUCUCUUAAAGACUUUCACAUCCGUUAGUCCAAAUAGUGUAUCAUAACCAACAGAAGCCAAUUGGCGAACAGAAAGCAAAUGAUAUUUAAGGGAUUGGACAAGCAUGACAUUUGCAAGAGACAUGUCAUUUGUGAUAGCCACCUUACCCAAACCGAGUACCUGUCCUUUUGAUCCUCCACCAAACAUAAUGCUCAUAAAUGGUUGAAUAGCUUCCAUGAAAUCGUAGAGCAAUUUGCUAUCUCCGGUCAUAUGAUUGGUACAUCCACUAUCAAGCACCCAUUUUACUCCACCGGAGAAGGCAACCUACACACAAUUAUUACUUGGUUAGAGGCACCCAUUUUGCAAUGGGACCUCUCAAGUUAGUCACAAGGGUCUUAGGGACCCAAAUAGCAUAAAACCAAAAUGCAUUUCGAGGACCAACAAACUUUGCAUAAACUUCUCCAUCCUUAGUCUUAGGAAGUACAUAGGAUGGAGGCAUGAACUCUUUUGGCUUGUUGAGAGUGGGCAUGCCCCUUGUGGCCUUCCCACUAACAACCUUACCUUUCUCCUUGUGCUCUUCUCGUACAAAAGUUUCUUUUAGAGGGGUGGUUCACUUUUGAGAGGAUGUCUUCUUCUUGCUUGUGCUCGGGUCAAACCCGAGUCCCUCUUUGGCAAACACCUCAUUGUGUUGGCUCAACACCUCAUUAAGGUUCUUUUGCCCUUGAGCACAUGUCAUGAGCCCUUUCUCAAUUUGAGCUUUGAGAAAGUGAUUCUCCUCAAGAAUAGAUGCUAGAUCACUAUUAGAGUUAGUAGUACAAGCAUCAACAUUGAUAAUAGGAGAAGAGUAAGCCUUGUCUAGAGUUUCAAGAUAAGUAAGCUUGAGUGUCUCAAAACUAUUUGUAAGAAGGGUGAGCUCUUCUUCCUUGGUCUUGAGGGACACGGAUAGGAGUUCACAAUCCUUAGAGAGAGAAGCAUUAGACUUUACAAGCUUACUUUUAUCAUUCAUCAACUCUUCGCAAGAGUCAAUAGCCUUUUUCAAGGAGGCAAGAUCUCUAGUAUGAACAUCAAUGUUUGCACCAAUUUUUAAGCAUAGUUCAUCAUUGCGUGCUUCCUCAUAUUGGACUUUCCGCUCAAGGAUUUCAUAUUUUUCCUUUUCCUCGGUGACGAGGGUUUCGAGUUCCUUAAUGGAAAUGGUGUGCUUACUCACCAUCUCCAUAAGCAUACGAAACAUAGUGAGCUUCUUUCCUUUAAGGGAGCACAUGAACUUAUUUAGUUUAGCAAGCAUAUGAUCAUUUAUAUAAUCAUCCUCAUAACUAUCCUCCGCAUCAAGAUACUCAUCACUAGGAGUAGGAGGAGUGAAAAGAGGAGGGUUUGAUCGUGGGGUUACCUUGACCUUGUCAGGAGAGUGUUGGUCCUCUCCAUCUUCUACCACGGCCUUCGCCAUGAGACACUUAUGAGCGUUGCCCUUGUAAUCCUUCAUGUAGUUAUAGGUGACAACUUCACCACUCUUGUUGACUAGCCUCAAUGUGUUUUGAGAAUCUUGAGAAACUCCGGCAACACCACUAACAUCAUCCGGAUCAGAUUCUUCUUGAGCAACCAUUGCUUUCCCAUCUCUCUUCUUGAGCUUGGAGGUCAAAGGAUUUGGCAACUUCUUCUUGGGGAAGGUCUUGGGAAACCUUGGUUUAUCUUCUCUCUUCUCAUAAGGGCACUCGUUGGAGAAGUGGUUGGUUUCUUCACAGUUGUAGCAUUUUCUUACUUUCUUCUUUUGAAACCUUCCCUUGAAUUUUCCCGCGCUAAACUUCUUGACAAAGAGAGCCAUGUCUUCAUAUGAAGGGCCCUCAUCGGAUUCAACCUCAUCACCAUCUUCAUCAUCAUCAUCAUCAUCAUCUUCUUCUUCACUUUUCUCAUCUUCACAUACAUGCUUGGCCUUCAAUGCAAGAUUGAUCUUCGACGAUGGAGUACCAUGCAUGGCAAGAUGUUUUGUAGCAUUUGCCUUUGACUCUUCAAAUAGUUGGAAAGUGGAUAUGAUGUCAUCUGUAGUCAUUUCGUUGAAGGCAUGGGGUUGUCUUAUGUCCCAUACCAUCUGAUGGUGAUAUGGAGCAAGAGCAUGGAGCAACUUGUCCACAAGGAAUCGCUUAGUCAUGUUGAAUCCAUCUUGUGUCUUGUCACACUCACACGACUCAAUAUCAGCGGUGAGAGUCAUGAGACACUCAAGGAAUUGAUUUGGAGUUUCACCUUUCUCCAUACAAAAGUUUUGCAAUUGCCCCUUGGCAAUUUCAUAUUGAGCACUCCGGAGGGUGGAGGUACCGGUCUUGGAUCUUAUAAUACUUUCCCAUAGUUCCUUGGCACUUGUGAUGUGUAUGAAAGGUCUCCUUUGCUUUUCAACCAUACCUCUCCUUAUACACAUGAUUGCAGUGUCAUUGAGAUUCUUGUCAUAAAUUUCUCUUGGUGUAGGAUUCUUUGGAUCAACCACAUGCUAACCAUACUCCAAGAUCUCUAGCAUCUCAUCGUUUCCAUAUCGAAGAUGAUCCUGCAUAGCAACUCUCCACAAGGCAAAAUCGGAAGUGGCAUCAAGUAAAGGAGGUUUGCCUUGAGGGUUAUAUUUUGGUUUCUCAACUUGGGGUCUUGCAUAAAGCCAAGGAACACUAGAGUGUUCAUUGCUAGGAGGUUGUUGACCAAGUGACGGAGUAGGCACAGUUGGCCUCGAAGCCGCACCACCCGAAAGUGGUGCAAGCACCGUGGACAAUGUGGCUAUCCUCAUUUGGACCAAGGCCUCGACAGAAGCAUCAUGCUCCUCUUUUUGCUUAGCAAGGGCCCGUUCCAGAUCCUCAGAAGUAAAGGACUUGACUUCAGAGGAAGCCUCGCCUUUAUCCUUCGGAUCUGCAACACGGGGAGUCCCAUCGGGGUUCAUCUCGCUCUAGGGCGGUUAAGCCACAAGAAUAGAGCACGAGGCUCUGAUACCAAUUGAAAGGAUCGAGAUGGACCUAGAGGGGGGUGAAUAGGUACAAUUACAAAUUUUACUUGUUACUUAGCAAUUUUAGGCACUAAUGCGGAAUAUGAAAGUGAGCCUAACAAUUGCAAGUGUAGUACUAAGUGCUAAGCAAGAUAAACAAGUAACACAAGUAUGUAAGUAAACAAGCACAAUAUGAUAUAAGUAAGUGCUAAGAGACAAGUAACCACAAGUAGAGAGUUAGGGUUAGGAAUAACCAGAACUCCGAGAGACGAGGACGUAUGCCGAUGUUCACUUCCUUGGAGGGAAGCUACGUCACCGUUAGAGAGGUGGAUGUUACCACGAAGGCACACCAACGCAACGAAGGCUCACCCUAUUCUCCCUUUGAGACAACACCACGAAGGCGUUUCUCAACCACUAGUGGUAGACCUUGGGGUGGUCUCCAAACCCUCACAAACUUUUUCGGGGGUAAUCACAAAGGUCGAUUCCUCUCCGAAAGACUCCUACCGCCUAGGAGUCUCCGACCUCCAAGAGUAACAAGAUCGAUGGGGAAAAGCUCAAGACUUGCUCAAAUCACGAAUUCCUUGGGUGCAAAGAAGGGGAAGAGGUGGAUCUAUCACUUGAUCGGACAACUUCUCUCCAAAGCUCUCAAAUCCCUUGGGGAUCUAAGAUUUGGUGUGGAGGAAUGAGAGAGAGAGAGAGUGAGAAGUGUUCUAGGGUUUGUUCAAAGUGAAUGGUCAACCCUCUCCUGUGAAGAAGAAGGGCUAUAUAUAGUGUGAGCACAAAUAUGGCCAUUGUAGUGCAAGUGAACGGGCAGGCCGGACAUCCGGGCUUGGGGCCCGACAUCCGGCUGGCAAGCCACUUGAAGAACAAGGCAGAACAGAGCAGGAAAUAGAGGGGCCGGACAUCCGGGGGUCAAGCUCGGACAUCCGGCACAACAGGAAAGCCCGGACAUCCGGAAGAUAGCCAGAUAUCCGGGGAGCCCACAAGCGUUUACAAAAACAUAUCAGUUUUACGGGCAGUAAGGGGCCGGAUAUCCGGGAAAGGGCCUGGACAUCCGGCGAGACAGGAAGGCCCGGAUAUCCGGCGAACACCCGGACAUCCGGCGUAAAAUAGACAACCUUCUGUAAAGGGGAAAGGCAAGAGCCAGAUAUCCGGGGCAUGAGCCGGGCAUCCGGAGAGCGGCCCGGACAUCCGGCACGAGGCCCGGACAUCCGACACUCCCAGAGACAUAAUGAUUUAAAGAUAAGGAUGGAUAAAAAGAACUAUGGGAAGGAGUAUUUUGACUAGAGCAAGUCUUUUACGGACCCAAUCGAUCCCCUCUUAAUAGUGCGAGAUCCUAUACUCAAGGAAACAAAAUGUAACAUCAUUUUAACACUUCAUCCUUGAGAGAAACCACUUCGUAUGCUCUUGAUCCACACACAAUUUGACGAACCGGGGACAAACACCUGAGAUUCACUUGACAACCAUUGUUAGUCCCCUACAUGUAGAUUGUCAUUAACAUCAAAACAUAAUGUAAGGGCAUGAUUGCACUUUCACUUUUACCGAGGGACACGACUAUUCGAAUAGAUAAACUUCCCUGCAGGGGUGCACCACAUAACCCAACACGCUCGAUCCCAUUUGGCCGGACACACUUUCCUGGGUCAUGCCCGGCCUCGGAAGAUCAACAUGUCGCAACCCCGCCUAGGCACAACAGAGAGGUCAGCACGCCGGUCUAAAUCCUAUGGCGCAGGGGUCUGGGCCCAUCGCCCAUUGCACACCUGCACGUUGCGUGGGCGGCCGGAAGCAGACCUAGCCUAGCAGGCGUUCCAGUCCAAUCCGGCGCGCGCCGCUCAGUCGUUGACGUCACGAAGGCUUCGGCUGAUACCACGACGCCGAGUGCCCAUAACUGUUCCCGCGUAGUUGGUUAGUGUGUAUACGCCAGUGGCCAGACUCAGAUCAAAUACCAAGAUCUCGUUAAGCGUGUUAUUAUGAAGUAACCGCGAACGCCGAUCAGGGCCAGGCCCACCUCUCUCCUAGGUGGUCUCAACCCGCCCUGUCGCUCCGCCACAAACUAACAGUCGGGGGCUGUCGGGAACCCAGGCCCAGCUCUACCGGGAUGGAGCCACCUGCCACUUCAGCCCCCAUCUUCGAACAGUAUCAUAAGUAAUGUAACAAUAUAAAGUAUAUAGCAUAUGCCCGUGAUCACCUCCCGAAGUGAUCAUGGCCCAGUAGUAUAGCAUGGCAGACAGACAAGAGUGUAGGGCCACUGAUGGAACACUAGCAUCCUAUACGAAGCAUUAGGAUAGCAGGUAAAAUUAGGAUAGCAGGUAAAGGUAACAACAGUAGUGGCAAAGACAGGCUAUGAGCAGAAUAGGAUUAACGAAAAGCAGUAACAUGCUACACUACUCUAAUGCAAGCAGUAUAGAGAAGAAUAGGCGAUAUCUGGUGAUCNNNNNNNNNNNNNNNNNNNNNNNNNNNNNNNNNNNNNNNNNNNNNNNNNNNNNNNNNNNNNNNNNNNNNNNNNNNNNNNNNNNNNNNNNNNNNNNNNNNNNNNNNNNNNNNNNNNNNNNNNNNNNNNNNNNNNNNNNNNNNNNNNNNNNNNNNNNNNNNNNNNNNNNNNNNNNNNNNNNNNNNNNNNNNNNNNNNNNNNNNNNNNNNNNNNNNNNNNNNACAUAGUCGUACACAGUGGCAUCAGUGCCGGUCUCGGGGUCUACCGGAGAAUAAGAGGGGGAAGAAACAGUAAAUACGAAGCAAACAAAGCAUCACAAAAUAUAACAAGGCAAUACGCGGUGCCGGGGGUGAUCUAACGCAGCGAUAGGUAAUACCGGCGAAGGGGAAAACAUCCGGGAAAGUAUCCCUAGUGUUUCGCGUUUUCAGACAGGUGAACCGGAGGUGGAAAGUUGUGUGUUCGCUAUGCUAGGGAUGUGUGGCGGACGAACGGGCUGCUUAUCCGGAUUCGUCUCGUCGUUCUGAGCAACUUUCAUGUACAAAGUAUUUUCAUCCGAAUUACAGAUUAUUUUAUAUUAAUUUCUUAAGUUUUAGACUUUUUAUUUUUUUUAUUAAUUUUGAGAAUAAAAUGCAACAAAUACAUUUGUAACCAUGGACAGCUAGACCCAGAGGCUUACAGGUGGGGCCAGGGUCUAAGUUGACCCAAUCAAUACUUGACUGGUCAACUUGUGAACAGUGCCAGUGGGGGCCGAGUUGUCAUGGACUCUAUUUUAUAUUAAGUCAAAUUAAUUUGAGAUAAUCAACAGGGGUGGAUCACAUGUUAUUUUCUAUUGCAUUAAACUAAAUUAGCACUAACUAAUCUAGUCUAAUUAAACAAGGGCCAGCCGUAUUGGACAGUGGCCCAGCCCGCCACAAGCACACACGCAUACAACACAUUCAGUCAUGGCCAUCGCCAUGUUCAGUAGCAGCAGCAGUCAACGGCAAUUGAGCAGCAGCUAGUAGCAAUAGUAGUGAGGAGCAACAACGGCUCGCGAGAAACGAGUAGCAGGAGUAGCGGCGCAGCAGUACGCGGCAAGCAGCAGGAGCAGCACGCAGCCGGCGGCGGCAAGCUGGAGCGGCAGCAGGUAAGAGGAGCAGCAGCAAACAGACGCAUGGAGCAGCGGCGGCUCGGGCGCGGCCGUGAGCGGCGUUGGCGCAGGGCAGGCAGCGGUCGCGCGCCUAGGUGCGGCUAGGAAGCCGUGCGCGGGGAGGGUGGGCCGCGGCCGCGGCGACCAGCAGGCAGAGGCGGGCGGCGCGCGGACGCGAACGACAGCGGAUGGCGAACAACAACGGACAACAACAGCGGCUGGAGCANNNNNNNNNNNNNNNNNNNNNNNNNNNNNNNNNNNNNNNNNNNNNNNNNNNNNNNNNNNNNNNNNNNNNNNNNNNNNNNNNNNNNNNNNNNNNNNNNNNNNNNNNNNNNNNNNNNNNNNNNNNNNNNNNNNNNNNNNNNNNNNNNNNNNNNNNNNNNNNNNNNNNNNNNNNNNNNNNNNNNNNNNNNNNNNNNNNNNNNNNNNNNNNNNNNNNNNNNNNNNNNNNNNNNNNNNNNNNNNNNNNNNNNNNNNNNNNNNNNNNNNNNNNNNNNNNNNNNNNNNNNNNNNNNNNNNNNNNNNNNNNNNNNNNNNNNNNNNNNNNNNNNNNNNNNNNNNNNNNNNNNNNNNNNNNNNNNNNNNNNNNNNNNNNNNNNNNNNNNNNNNNNNNNNNNNNNNNNNNNNNNNNNNNNNNNNNNNNNNNNNNNNNNNNNNNNNNNNNNNNNNNNNNNNNNNNNNNNNNNNNNNNNNNNNNNNNNNNNNNNNNNNNNNNNNNNNNNNNNNNNNNNNNNNNNNNNNNNNNNNNNNNNNNNNNNNNNNNNNUCCAGUGGCUCAGGCGAUGGAGGAGAUGAUGGCGGUCCUCCUUGACAGCAGCUUGGGCGCCGUGGAGCUCGGUGGCCACGAGGGCGCGAGUGGACACCGGCGAUGGCGCUCGGGUGAGAGGGGAGAAACGGAUCCGGGGCGGGAGGGGGCGGAGAUCUGGGAGGAGAGCGGGGGGCGAGUGGGAGAGGGAACCGAGGAGCCGCAGCGCUGGCUGCCUUAUCCCACCGACGGGGACGGCGAGGUGGUUCGACGGGGACGCGCCCCUGUUCAUGGCGCGGUCGGAGGAACAGGGCGUGUGGGAAGAAGACGACAAGGGGGAACGGGGGAGUGGGCCUGCUCGGUUGGGCCGGUUGGGCUGGCCGGCUGGGCCGUUUGGCCCAGUUGGCCAGGGGGUUCCUUUUCUUUCUCUUUCUAUUUUAUUUCUGUCUUUACUUUUUAUUUAUCUUUCUUUUACUGAUUUAUAUUUUAUCUUAGUUUUGUAAAAUACAAAAAUGAUCCCUGAAUUAGUAUUACCACUAAACACACUGCCACAAAAAGUUUAACCCCCGAACAAAAUAGUUUAGUAUUUUAUAAAAUCCAAAAGCCAUUUAUUUAAUUGUUUUACCUACUGUUUUAAUUACUUAAGUGCAUUUAAACCUUUUAUAAAAAUGUGGUUUCUCCAACAUAAUUACCUAUGCAUUAUUUAGCACAACCCGAACAAUUUAGUUUUAAUAUUUGAAAACCUUUGUUGUUAGCCUUUGUUUUAAAUUUGAAUUUGAAUCGAUUUUGAAUCAACGCGAGUUUAAUUACAGUAACUGAGGUGACGUGGCAUCAUUAGCAGAGGUUCACUGUAGUUUGAUUAUCCGGGCGUUACAAUUCUCCUCCACUACAAGAAAUCUCGUCUCGAGAUUUAAGAGGGGGAGUACGGGGGAAAGUUGUGGUUACGAAAUUCUAACGAUUCUUCUCGAUCUUGGUUGCUCUCCCCGAAGUAGUUGAUCCUCUUCGUUUAUGUCUUUAUUUCUCUGCUUCAGGUCAUCAUAAUGAGUUCGACAUCCUUUCUUCGGGAACUCCAUCGUACUUACGAAAGAAUAAAGGGUGGGCAUUCCAGAAGAACAGACCUCUGCAAGGUUGACUAUCUGGUCGAUAACAUCGGGGAAGGUGGCGGUAAGUAACUCUCGAAUUGAAACUUAAGAAAAUAUCGAGAGCAAAGUAAGGAGGUAUCAUGGGAAGUUUCAAGCAGGUAGGCAAUCGUUUGAUGCCUGAUACGGGGCGUGAAAAGGGGUUCAAAGCAACGGGAAUAAGUAUUGUGUGUGAUACCAGAAUUGAUGAUCUCUCGAACGAUGGCUCGUGAAUUACAUAUGAAAUCAAGCGCGAGGAAUAACUUUGGCAACAUGGGUGUACAGGAGAGUCAGGUUUCAAUCCUGUGGAACUGUGGGUUUUGCGCCCACCACGUGGUUAAAAGUAGGAGGAGUGGUGACAUCUUGCAUGGUCAUGAUAGCAACGCAUGUCAGAGGGUGGCCUGCCAGUUAUGUCGGCAACAACGUCGGUACCAAGGGCGAGGGACGAACAGAACCAUUUUCCUGCUCGUUGAAUGAGGCGGACCAAUAGGCAAAGUUCUCGUCCAUUGGUUGGUACCGGAAUGUCAUCAACAAUAGUAACAGGGUCUUGCUGACAGAAUUGUACACCGAGGUGUUUACAUAAGCAGGAGAAUAUUUCUGCUCGAAUCAUAUAGAUCACAAGAAAGGUUAAACCAAACAAUGGAAAGGAAAAUGUGAUUAUCAGAUUAAACAGAACAAUGGAAAGGAAAAAUGUGUUUAAACACAUAUUUUAGGGGUAUAUCCUUCCCAAGGACAAGCAGAGCAUGAUAUCCGUGACAAGAUAUAAUGUAGAAAACCCUUUAGGAAAGGGGGAGAAAUUUCAUGACAUUACCCAUACAACGGUGUUUGGAUAAUUUGAUAAAGAAAAUUUAGCAUUGUGCUUCAAAUGCUCUUAUUGAAAAUCGGAUUACCACAGACAUGCUUCGAGAUAGCAUUGACAUGGUCAUCAAUUAAGGUUCAGAAUUUGGAUGCACGAAGGAUCCAUCAGGAACAACUUGUAGAAUAAGUUUUACAAUUUCCUCAUGGAAGAAUGGAUGAUAACCUUGCUGAAAGGAAGAACUAUAACAAUAGGUCCUCUGGUCAAGUGUGCUAGGCAUGACAUCACCUUACCGGGUCAUAUAAAGACCUAUGUUAUAACUCUUGAAAAUAUGCUCCAACCAUCAUAGCUGACCGAGAUUCAGAUCUGAUCGGUGUUAGGAAACCUCAGACUCAGGAUGCCUGAGAAGAAAAGGUGCCAGACAAGACAGGAUGACACUGUAAGAUUCUCAGGAAAUGAACUAUGAAGUGAUUUCCGUUAACAAGAGUUCAUCAUUAACCCAAGGAGAGGACAAGGAGGUGGCUGAUGGGCUAAGGACAAUUCAUCGAGAUUUCCAAAAGAUGGAUUUCCACAGUUAUGUGAACAAGGAGAUAACAUUCGUCAUAUCAAAUGAUAUAAUGAUGUAUGCUCGAGGAAAACAUACACAAUCAAACAUUGAUUGAAAGGUGCACCCGAAAUAUGGGCUUUGGUAGCAAGAUCAAUGUUAGAAGGGUGAUACGAUAUCCAAUACACAAAGAAUGUAACUAACGUUCAUUAACUUACAAGCAAUAGGGUUGCUAGAAGUUUUGACUUCACACAUCAUAGUUAAAUGGCUGGCAUCCCGGUUAGAAACAACACGGGGACCAAAAUAUGAACGGAGAUGGCGAGAAGUAUUACUAUAUCAAGAAUUCUUAAGAGGUGGUGAAAUUCUCAUGACAUUCUUGACAUAAAAGAUGGUAAUACUCCAAGGUAAAGAACAAAUGCUGGAUAGCAAGGAUCCUAAGGUAUAACACAAAACACGAACAAGUUUGUGUUGGAGGGAAGGCAGUAAAGUGGCCGAUGAUAACACAAAUCAUCGGGGGAAAGGAUGGUCUUUCUCAUCAUGAAUUCAAUUGAUAUUCUGGAAGGACUCAGAAUGCUCAUGAUGAUCACGACACAUUUGUCAAGAGAUUCCAUGAAGAUGUAAUCGAUCGGCGAUGACAUCAAGUCAAAGGAAUGAUGAAGCGAAAGGUUAUUGGAACCCUGGGUACGACACAAACUCGAAAUCAAGUUUGCUGUUCAAGGAGAAAUGAUAUGACGAGGAAGAUCAACGUAAGAUUAGAUCACCGUCGAAGGUUGUGCUCCGUGAUUAAGGACCAGGUAGCACAGUUAAAAUCAGCACGAUAAUGAUGUAGCCGAGUAGGCUAGGAAUGAUGUGAUCGAGUUCAAACUCGUAAGUAAUGAAGGUUACCAAGAGUUGUUGAAUCGCAGUGCGAACUCGAUUCAGUUGUCGGUGUCCUUGAGGGGUUCUAACAACUCAGAACCCGUUGGAAAAAUGGAAUCGGCAAGAAUAUUAGUUGACGAAGAACUCAUAAGAAGUUAUGUUGCUCCUGAUAAUCUCGAGAUACCUGGGGGUAAUACUCGACGACAGAUCAAAGUAGAGGUUGGACUGGGGUAUUGCUCCGUAGAAGACAAGUGCUUAAACUUGUCCGCGAAAUGGGAUCAAAGAAGAACAAUCAUGGUCAAAACCACGAUUGCAAAGGACCAAAACAAAAUACAAGAUGAUUUUAAAACAAGGGAACAAUUAUUAUUACAAGAAGCUUUCAUGAUAAGUUCCACAUCGGGUCCAUGGGCAUGAACACAAAGUUCAAGGUCGACUCCCACUUCUUCAAUGCCUAACCUAUCAUUUACUUCUCGUCUUCGAAAAAAGUUGUAGAGCAGAAAAUUAUCUGGUAAAACACCAGAAUGGUAUGACUUGUGUAAACUUUCAGGUGCAUACGGUUUUAGGGAAGGUAUAGGCUCAACCCAUCGGGGCAUCUUAGAAACAUAUACUACAAAGUUCGAAAGUAAAUAACUCAAGCUCGAAAGCAGAGCAUCGUUGGCCAUAUCAAAGAAUAGGAUUUAGCAAUGGCAUUAUGUAUCAGGGAAAGAACUUCUUGAGGUUUUUGUGUACAAAGGACACUGUCGGAUGAAAAUUCAACAAAGGAUCUGACGGUCCAUAACGGAGUUGAUGUGAGCAUUUGCACACCACCAAUGGAAGAAACAAUGCAAAGGUAUUUAAUUAUAGAAACAACUGACUACAUCAAAUCUCAAAGGCAAAGGAAUUAAGAUUUCCAAAUCAAGGGAUCAGAAGCAAUCGUUCUAAUCAAAAAUGAAUAAGUUCAAUAGAAUUAGAAGCACAACCGAUCAAGGCAUUGAUUGGUCAAGAACCAGCUCAUAUCCAAAUGACGUCUGAGCCAGAAGGAUAAUCCUAGGAUUCGACUGAUGAUGGUGAACAUUCGCAACUUAUUGAAUCAACGGACUCAAAAUGAUAAUGACAAAGGAUGCCAUUAAGAUUACUAGACUUAUGGGGUUAACCAUAAUGCAAGCAAGUAAGAAUUUCAAGAGCAAUAGGCUCCUGAGGAUUUUUGGAAGAUUGAAUGGUAUUUCGAAGAUUGGUGACAUACAUGAAUCAACUGGGGAUGAGUGGAUACUCGGUAAGUGCGAGAAAUUAUCCGUAGGGAUAUUCAUGUGGCAAGAACUGCAAGGCAGUAGGCACAAAGUAUUCUCGGAACAUUAGGGAGAAUUUCGGGGUAUCUUGGAAUAACAAGAUCAACUGGGAAUAAAAGUAAGAACAACAGGUGUAAGUAUUUAUCCAUAGGGAUGUUUCGAUGGUAUGGAAUUGCAAAAGCAACAGGCUCAAAGUCUCGAGAGAACAUCGGAGAGUAUCUUCGAAAUCCUUCGGUGGACCAAGUAAUCAUCUGGAGUAAGGGGCUCUCCGGGUGGAAGUAGUUACGAGAACCUAGAGUCGGCGUUAGUAAAAUCAUUUAACCCGAAUAGAAGAGAGAUCAGAGUCCCAGAGUAUAGAUCGAGGAAUAAAAGAUCCUAAUACCACCCAAUGGCAACGUGGGCCCGUAAGCCGCACAGCCAUGUUAGUAAAAACUUUUUAAAUGACUAGACUCGACUUCGGCCAAGGAGUUGGAAAGGGGGAUUCCUACAGGCAGUCGGCUCUGAUACCAACUUGUGACGCCCCCGAUUCAAUCGUACACUAAUCAUACACACAAACGUGUAUGAUCAAGAUCAGGGACUCACUGGAAGAUAUCACAACACAACUCUAAAAAUAAAAUAAGUCAUACAAGCAUCAUAAUACAAGCCAGGGGCCUCGAGGGCUCGAAUACAAGUGCUCGAUCAUACACGAGUCAGCGGAAGCAACAAUAUCUGAGUACAGACAUAAGUUAAACAAGUUGCCAUAAGAUGGCUAGCACAAACUGGGAUACAGAUCGAAAGAGGCGCAUACCUCCUGCCUGGGAUCCUCCUAAACUACUCCUGGUCAUCGUCAGCGGCCUGCACGUAGUAGUAGGCACCCUCGGUGCAGUAGGAGUCAUCGUCGACGGUGGCGUCUGGAUCCUGGGCUCUAGCAUCUGGUUGCGACAACCAGGUAGAAUGGAAAGGGGGAAAAGAGGGAGAAAAGCAACCGUGAGUACUCAUCCAAAGUACUCGCAAGCAAGGAUCUACACUACAUAUGCAUGGGUAUCUGUGUAAAGGGGAAAUAUCGAUGGACUAAACUGCAGAAUGCCAAAAUAAGAUGGGGAUAGCUAGUCCCGUCGAAGACUACGCUUCAGGCCACCUCCAUCUUGCAGCAUGUAGAAGAGAGUAGAUGGUAAGUUCACCAAGUAGCAUCGCAUAGCAUAAUCCUACCUAGCGAUCCUCCCCUCGUCGCCCUGUGGGAGAGCGAUCACCGGGUUAUAUCUGGCACUUGGAAGGGUGUGUUUUAUUAAGUGUUCGGUUCUAGUUGUCAUAAGGUCAAGGUACAACUCCGGGUCGUCCUUUUACCGAGGGACACGGCUAUCCGAAUAGAUAAACUUCCCUGUAGGGGUGCACCACAUAACCCAACACGCUCGAUCCCAUUUGGCCGGACACACUUUCCUGGGUCAUGCCCGGCCUCGGAAGAUCAACACGUCACAGCCCCACCUAGGCACAACAGAGAGGUCAGCACGCCAGUCUAAAUCCUAUGGCGCAAGGGUCUGGGCCCAUCGCCCAUUGCACACCUGCAUGUUGCGUGGGCGGCCGGAAGCAGACCUAGCCUAGCAGGCGUUCCAGUCCAAUCCGGCGCGCGCCGCUCAGUCGCUAACGUCACGAAGGCUUCGGCUGAUACCACGACACCAAGUGCCCAUAACUGUUCCCGCGUAGUUGGUUAGUGCAUAUAGGCCAGUGGCCAGACUCAGAUCAAAUACCAAGAUCUCGUUAAGCAUGUUAUUAUGAAGUAACCGCGAACGCCGACCAGGGCCAGGCCCACCUCUCUCCUAGGUGGUCUCAACCCGCCCUGUCGGUCCGCCACAAAGUAACAGUCGGGGACCGUCGGGAACCCAGGCCCACCUCUACCGGGAUGGAGCCACCUGCCCCUUCAGCCCCCAUCUCCGAACAGUAUCAUAAGUAAUGUAACAGUAUAAAGUAUAUAGCAUAUUCCCGUGAUCACCUCCUGAAGUGAUCAUAGCCCAGUAGUAUAGCAUGGCAGACGGACGAGAGUGUAGGGCCACUGAUGGAACACUAGCAUCCUAUACUAAGCAUUAGGAUAGCAGGUAAAGGUAACAACAGUAGUGGCAAAGACAGGCUAUGAGCAGAAUAGGAUUAACGGAAAGCAGUAACAUGCUACACUACUCUAAUGCAAGCAGUAUAGAGAAGAAUAGACAAUAUUUGGUGAUCAAGGGGGGGGGGGGCUUGCCUGGAAGCUCAGCCGAGAAGGAGGGUCGCCGGUGACGUAGUCGUACAAAGUGGCAUCAGUGCCGGUCUCGGGGUCUACCGGAGAAGAAGAGGGGGAAGAAACAGUAAAUACGAAGCAAACAAAGCAUCACAAAAUAUAACAAGGCAAUAUGCGGUGUCGGGGGUGAUCUAACGCAGCGAUAGGUAAUACCGGCGAAGGGGGAAACAUCCGGGAAAGUAUCCCCAGUGUUUCGCGUUUUCGGACAGGUGAACCGGAGGGGGAAAGUUGCGUGUUCGCUAUGCUAGGGAUGUGUGGCGGACGAACGAGCUGCUUAUCCGGAUUCGUCUCGUCGUUCUGAGCAACUUUCAUGUACAAAGUAUUUUCAUCCGAAUUAUGGAUUAUUUUAUAUUAAUUUCUUAAGUUUUAGACUUUUUAUUUUUUAUUAAUUUCGAGAAUAAAAUGCAACAAAUACAUUUGUAACCAUGGACAGCUAGACCCAGAGGCUUACAGGUGGGGCCAGGGUCUAAGUUGACCGAGUCAAUACUUGACUGGUCAACUUGUGAACAGUGCCAGUGGGGGCCCAGUUGUCAUGGACUCUAUUUUAUAUUAAGUCAAAUUAAUUUGAGAUAAUCAGCAGGGGUGGAUCACAUGUUAUUUUCUAUUGCAUUAAACUAAAUUAGCACUAACUAAUUUAGUCUAAUUAAACAAGGGCCGACCGUAUUGGACAGUGGCCCAUCCGGCCACAAGCACACACGCAUACAACACAUUCAGUCAUGGCCAUCGCCAUGUUCAGUAGCAGCAGCAGUCAACGGCAAUUGAGCAGCAGCUAGUAGCAAUAGUAGUGAGGAGCAGCAACGGCUCGCGAGAAGCGAGUAGCAGGAGUAGCGGCGCAGCAGUAUGCGGCAAGUAGCAGGAGCAGCACGCAGCCGGCGGCGGCAAGCUGGAGCGGCAGCAGGUAAGAGGAGCAGCAGCAAGCAGACGCAUGGAGCAGCGGCGGCUCGGGCGGGAGAAUUGAUUUUAACCCCCCAGCUCGCGCGCCUUUGAUCUUAAGCCCCUUUGUUCGUUUGCCUUCCUCUGAACCCCCCAGUUCUGUCUACUUGUUGCUGGUACCCCCCUUUGGCAUUGUUAACAACUUUGUUAGUGUAUAACUAACAUAUUGAAAUAGAAAUAGACAAAAGUACCCCUCUGUUUGAAAGGCACAUCUCUGUACCUUGUCCGAAUUUUCAAACCACAAAAUAUUUUGGCCAAAUAAGAAAUGACAUGAUUUUCUAAAGCUGUGUGCUAUGUUUCACAAAAAAAAUUGAUAUGAUUUUGCUGUAAUCAAUAGCCUUCCACACAAACAGGCUGGAAAUAAUAUAGGGUCACAAUGAUUCAAUGAUAGCAUAGAGAAUAAUUCAGCCAUGUUCUACAUGACUUCAUGACAGCAAAAUAAGUGAGUCUUUACCUCACAUAUAGGACUUCAUGAUAGCAAAAUAAGUGAGUCUUUACCUCACAGCAAAAUAAAUGUGAGUCUCUACCUCACAUACAAAGCAAAUAAAAGUGAGUUUGCACCUCACAUACACAACAAUAAAAGUGAGUCUCCACCCACAGCCGAGUUCAUCACAACCACAAACAAGCUCACAGGUCGCUUAAUUUCUUCCUCUUAGGUGUCAUUUUCUUCUUCUUUCCUUUUGCUGGAGGUUUUGGUGGUGGGGUAGCAGCUUGGCUCCUUGUGACAGGUCCAGGACUAGCUUGAGCUGCAGCUUGGCUUCUUGUGACAGCUCCAGGACUGCUACAAGUGGCAUCAUUCUUUCUCCAUUUGGUGCCUCACAACCUACAACAAAAAAUUGUACAGAUCUGAAUGUUAUUACUAUGACAAAAAAUGAAGCAAUAAAAAUAUAAAGCACAAAGGCAAUUACCAUCACGCAAUUUUCAUCCCUUCGCCAACUAGCAGUUAAAGCCCAUUUGCAAGGGUCACCUAUUAUGGAUUGACCUUUGCAAAAAGCACGAAACCUCCCUGGCUCAUUUUUCUUUGUGCCAUAUUCAAACUCUCCAUUGACAGCCCACUGUUUUAAAGCCUUUCUAAAUUCAACCAUGUUAGGAUAAGGUGUCCCUAUAUCCAUGGCUGGGUUUCGUUCAUCCCAGGCAAUAAGUGGCUCCUCUGGAGCAUUAUCAUCAACAACAAUAUCUGCAUCUUUGAUAUCAUGUAAGUCAGACUCCACAUCAGGAGUAGGAACGGCAAUAGAACGAAGCUCAGUUCCUCUCUCAUCCGGUUCUGUUUUUAAACCAAACAGAGCAAACAUGGCUUUCUCGUCCGGCGGUUUUUCAUCUCCAUCAUUUUCUGGUUCAAUCACAAGACUUGACCAAUCAAUAAUAGCACUACCAUUUUCUACUUCAUUGCAUGAGAUCGCCCCCGUGGUUAGGUUUAUCACACUGGAUUGGUUAGAAUCAUGCACAGACAUUGCAUCGAUCCUAUUCAAUAUAGACAGAAAAAAUCAGAAAAAUCACACACCAAAACUCAUGCAUACAUCAAUUAGAACAGGGGAAUAUGAUGUUAUCUUUUCAGAUCCAUCACACCCCUUAGUCAAUCCAGCCCCUCCCACUCAAAUCCCAUGCCAAUCACACACAAGACCUAGGUUUCCACGAUUUAGAAACUAUACCAGAAGAAAAGCACAAAAUCUGUGAAAAAUACAAGGGGGAAGAGGUUGCCUUACCUUGGGCCAGCGAAGGAAGGCGGCGGAUGGGGGGAAACGCGGCGGAGCAGGGCAGCGGACGGCGGGCGCAGCGGCUCUGGCGACUGGCGGCGGGGCGGCUGGCGGCUAGGUCAAGUCGGGGAGGGGAGGGGAGAUAGAAUGAAAAACAGGCCAGGCCUUGGGCCUCGGUCUCGUGAGUUUGGGGAAAAUUGGACGAGGGCAGUUUUGGCAAUUCCAAAUUUGUUAAGUCCAGAUUCUUUCCUUAUGCGCUAAAUCCAGAGAUAACAGCGCUAGAGGGGCAAGCGAGCCAAAAUUACGCCGCGUCGGGGGCUUGAGAGAAAGGCAAACGAACNNNNNNNNNNNNNNNNNNNNNNNNNNNNNNNNNNNNNNNNNNNNNNNNNNNNNNNNNNNNNNNNNNNNNNNNNNNNNNNNNNNNNNNNNNNNNNNNNNNNNNNNNNNNNNNNNNNNNNNNNNNNNNNNNNNNNNNNNNNNNNNNNNNNNNNNNNNNNNNNNNNNNNNNNNNNNNNNNNNNNNNNNNNNNNNNNNGCUUAAGAUCAAAGGCGCGCGAGCUGGGGGGGGGGGUUAAAAUCAAUUCUCCCGGCUUGGGCGUGGCCGUGAGCGGCGUUGGCGCAGGGCAGACAUCGGUCGCGCGCCUGGGUGCGGCUAGGAAGCGGUGCGCGGGGAGGGUGGGCCGCGGCCGCGGCGACCAGCAGGCAGAGGCGGGCGGUGCGCGGACGCGAAUGACAGCGGAUGGCGAACAACAACGGACAACAACAGCGGCUGGAGCAACCAAAAACUAAAACGACGUUGGAGCUCAAAAUCGAGCUCAAGCUAAGGGGAAAACGGCACGGUUGCUCACAUCGGGGUGUUGCCGUGCUCGAAGUGACACGAGGAGGCCGGAGUCGAGGGGAUUGACGGGAAGAAGCGACAGCGUCCGACGAAGGGGAUCGAGGAAGAUAGCGUCGAGGCGGCUCGCCGGCUCCAAUCUAGUGGCUCAGGCGAUGGAGGAGAUGAUGGCGGUCCUCCUUGACAUCAGCUUGGGCGUCGGGGAGCUCGGUGGCCACGAGGGCGCGAGUGGACACCGGCGAUGGCGCUCGGGUGAGAGGGGAACGGAUCCGGGGCGGGAGUGGGGCGGAGAUCUGGGAGAACGGGGGGCGAGUGGGAGAGGGAACCGAGGAGCCGCAGCGCUGGCUGCCUUAUCCCACCGACGGGGACGGCGAGGUGGUUCGACGGGGACGCGCCCCUGUUCAUGGCGCGGUCGGAGGAACAGGGUGCGUGGGAAGAAGAUGACAAGGGGGAACGGGGGAGUGGGCCUGCUCGGUUGGGCUGGUUGGGCUGGCCGGCUGGGCCGUUUGGCCCAGUUGGCCAGGGGUUCCUUUUCUUUCUCUUUUUAUUUUAUUUCUGUCUUUACUUUUUAUUUAUCUUUCUUUUACUGAUUUAUAUUUUAUCUUAGUUUUGUAAAAUACAAAAAUGAUCCCUGAAUUAGUAUUACCACUAAACACACUGCCACAAAAAGUUUAACCCCCGAACAAAAUAGUUUAGUAUUUUAUAAAAUCCAAAAGCCAUUUAUUUAAUUGUUUUACCUACUGUUUUAAUUACUUAAGUGCAUUUAAACCUUUUAUAAAAAUGUGGUUUCUUCAACUAAUUACCUAUGCAUUAUUUAGCACAACCCGAACAAUUUAGUUUUAAUAUUUGAAAACUUUUGUUGUUAGCCUUUGUUUUAAAUUUGAAUUUGAAUCGAUUUCGAAUCAACGCGAGUUUAAUUACAGUAACCGAGGUGACGUGGCAUCAUUAGCAGAGGUUCACUGUAGUUUGAUUAUCCGGGCGUUAUAGUGUUUGAUUCAUCCCAUUGAUUGUUUCUUUGCUGGGUUUCUCUCCGGAGUAAGUUGCAAAAACCCCAACAUGCAUGCAUGCACACAUGUGCGUACAAGGCAGUCUAAAUGGGCUCCUGGAAUGGAUGUGUAGACUGUAGAAGCAAAUGUUAUGAAGGCUUUGCAGAUCGAUUAAUGCCCCCACUAGAUUCAUGUUAUG
Molecule: long non-coding RNA, 56969 nt
Filed under: Triticum aestivum (bread wheat)
Lineage: Eukaryota; Viridiplantae; Streptophyta; Magnoliopsida; Poales; Poaceae
Description: long non-coding RNA (TAES_LNC017692)
Rfam family: Small nucleolar RNA R44/J54/Z268 family (bases 2835-2934)
Source: RNAcentral